AAAAAUGCUUCAAGGCAAGGAAUGAAGAUGUUCUCUUGGUCUCCUUUCCAAAAUGUGGAACAACAUGGUUGAAAUCUCUCAUGUUUUCUAUCAUGAAUCGAACCAGGUAUGAUUUCUCAGCACACCCUUUGCUGACUUCUAGCCCUCAUGAACUUGUUCCCUUCUUGGAAUUCUACGCAGAGCAGAACAUCCCCUUCCCAGACCUGGACACACUUUCCUCUCCUCAGCUCUUCCAUACUCACAUUGCCUUCACUUCAUUACCCCAACCUGUCAUAGACUCUCAGUGUCGAAUUGUCUAUAUCUGUCGCAACCCCAAAGAUGUGUUUGUUUCUAGUUUUUGUUUUAUCUCGAGAUGUCAUAUAGUGGUUCCCCUCGAAGAGGCAUUUGAGUUGUUCUGCAAAGGAAUUAGCUUCUAUGGACCCUUCUGGGACCAUGUUUUAGGGUAUUGGAAGGCUAGUUUAGCUUCACCCCAGAGAAUAUUGUUCUUGAAAUAUGAAGACGUGAAGGGGGAUUCCUUGUGUCAGGUCAAGAGGUUGGCAGAGUUCAUGGGCUCUCCCUUCUCUUCCGAGGAAGAAGGACAAGGUUUGAUACAUGAAAUUAUGGAGCUGUGUAGUUUUGAGAAUCUAAGAAAUUUGGAGGUAAACAAGACCGGAGCACUAUCUGUGGGCAAUAUCAGCACUGGAAAGGAUACUUUCUUCAGGAAAGGUGAGGUUGGUGAUUGGAAGAAUCAUUUGACAGCUGAAAUGGCCGAUCGCAUUGACAGGAUCAUGGAGGAAAAGUUGAAAGGUUCUGGUCUGACAUUCAGCGACUCCUGUGAUAGCUGAUUAUUAAUUCUGGAGGUGAACUUCAUAUGAUUUGUAUUAAGUUAAUUUAUUAACUAUCUAAUUGUCUUCUGUUAAGUGUGCUUGUGUGCUUGUAAUAAAUGGAAUGAUGGUGUUGAGUUAAUUUGUAUUAAGUUAUAAGGCUUUCUUAAUUUAUAUUUAAAUUCAAUACUUGGGCUAAGAAAUCAAUUCCACCAAAUAUACACAUGGACCAAUUAAAUUGGUCUCAUGAAUAUAACUAACUCAUCCUCGUCAAGAAAUUCCAAAAAUUUAAGGGCAACAUGUGUUUCAUGAGAUUGUUCAAUUUCUCACAUUUUUUUAUUUCAAUCUACCUGAACAAGCUCAAUUAUAAUUGAUUCUAUUACGGUCUCAUUUUCCAUCCGAUAUUGUUCGAUUUAAGACUAUAAUGAUGCACAUAUAAUCCAUCAGUCGAUGUUGAUUUUACUUCUUUAUUUGACCUAUGAAAAAACUUUGAAUGUGUUGUGAAAGUCCUUCAUGUAUAGCUCUUUAAUAUUUUCACAAUAUGAUAUUUUCUUCCUAAUCCAUGGUCAUUGUCUUCUCCACUUAAUUUUGGUGUGGCAUAGUCCUUAUGAAUAUUCUAAGAGUAAUCUCCCAACUAUUGCAUUAGAAUUUAUACUUACUAAUCAAUCAAUCAAUCAAUGAUCAUUGUCUUCGUCAUUGUCCUUAUGACUUGAGAGCAUGGGAUUGCACCAUUUUUUUUUUUUUUUUACCGACAAGUAGUAAUUGGAAGACAAAAAUUGUUGUAUUUGAUAAAGUCAAUAUCAAUAUGUUGGAGCUUAACAUGUAGGUCUUGUUGUUGUAAAUUCAACUUUUGAUUGCUUCAGGGUUAACUCCAUACCAUUUCAAAUUAGAUGUUUUCUGAGGUAUGCAUGCAUAGAAGGUUCGUAAACCUUAAGGAUUAGCUAACACAACACAUUAGAAUGAAAAUGAUGGAGUGAAGGUCUGAAAAAUGCAACACCCUCCUAGCUGAAGUGCUUGUCCUUGGGCAUUCAAACAUUUAGAGAUUUCUUUGCUACUUUCUAUUUCAUUUCUAACUUUAAAAAUUUGAUUUUGAAAUAUUUUUAAAGUAGAAAUCCUCCAUAAUUAAUUUCUAAAGUAUUUUAAGCAUACAUAAGCAUGUUUUAUUGAAAAUUUGUGAGCAUCUAAAUCUCACAAGAGGAUAGUCAUUAUGGAUGUUUGAGCCUCUAUCUUUCAAUUUUUUUCAAGAUAUUUCUUAAAAGAACUUUUAAAUUUGUUUACUACAAUAAAGAUCAAGGACUCACAUUACUUAAAUUUAAUUUAUUAAGGGUUUCAAACAAUCUAAUAACAGGCAUAAGAAAGUAUUACAUUGAGACAUAGAAAGAAAAGUGAUGGUACUGAUGAUAUUAUACCUUAAAAAAUAAGUAUAUCAAAUCAAGCUAAAUGAUAUUUUUUUUUCUUAUAUUUAAUUGAUAACUUGGUGAUCAAGAGAUGAUCCAUGAUCUUUAACCUAGGGGUUCUAGGCAGUUUUUCAUUUUUAUUCUAUAUAUUCUUACAAUUAUUUAGAAAAAGGAUUACUUGCUCGAAAAAGUUGAAUAUUUUUUGUGUAAUUUCCUAACAACCAAACAUUAGCAUAUUGGCAUUAAUUUUGGCUGACUUUCUUUUGGUAAGAAUAAGACAAAUAACUAUAGAAAGUGCUACGAGAUAUUUGUACACUUUAGGUUCCUUAGGAAGUAUAAGAAAGAUUAGUGAUUUUUUAUUUGUUCGAUUAGUUGGUUGAUUGGAGUUUUCCUUUUCGUGUUUUGUUGUCUCUUUGGGUAUUGAUAGGACAUGACCUUUUAAAGAAAAUGAUUCUUUAACAUGAGCACAAUGAACAGUUUUGUCCUUUGCAACAGUAAGUGAGUAUAGAAAUAAAAUGAAAAGAUUUGUACUUUAUAUGAGUUGUUCUUUGGGAAUACUACCUACAUUUGACCUCGAUAAUAAAAUGAUAUGUAAAGUGCAUGUCAUUAAAAAAUUUAUAAAAAUUUAUCAAACUAUAUAACCUAUUGGUGAGAAAUAAUCACAUGCAUUUUAUACGUAUCUAAAUAUCAUAAUUUUUUUUAAAAAUUUAUUAUUAAAUAUCAAAUAUAAUUUGUUAUUUAAUGAACUAUCUAACUCUACAUAAAAAUAAUAAAAAAUCUUAAUUUUUUAAUUGUAUUUUUAAUUUUUUUAAUUUUUAAUUUUAUUAAUCUCAAAUUAAUUCUCAUAUUAAAUUAAUUUAUAUUAUUAAUAUAUAAAAAGGUCAUUUUAGGAAAUAAUUAUUUGAAUCAUGAAAAAAUAUAUAUUUUAAAAUAUUUUAAAUGAGUGAGGAUAAAUAUGAUUUAUAAAAGUUUGAGAUAUUUUUUUAUACUUUUUUGUUUUAAAUUGGUAAGUGAAAACCCACUUUUUCCAAAAAUAAUUAUAUAAACAUGUAGAAUAAAACACUACACAUACAAAUUAUUUUUGAAAAUAUUAAAAAUAUGUUAAAGAUAAUUUAGGUCUUUAAACAAACCUUUGCUUUACAAAAUAUAAGAAAAAAAAAUUAAAAACUGUUAUUUAAAACUAUUUUUGAUUCAAAAACAAUUUCUAGACAUAGCCUAUGUUUUUGUCUUCUUUUCUUUUUAUCUCCUUGUUCUUUACUUUGUUUUCUUAUACUCUGCACAAGGCUCUCUAGUUUCCUCCACAACACUCCUACCAACUGCCGCCACCUUCUUUACAGGCAAUACAGAGCUUAAUGUACUUUUAAAAAAUGAAGAUAAAGAGGAAAUCAUUAAUUGGAUAUUUGGAUGUCAACCUAAUGCAAGCAUUAUAUUUAAAUUGAAUUGUUUUGCAGUUGGUCAGAUUUCCACAUCUUUCCCAAAUAUUGCUGAAGAAUUGGUUUGACAAGUGCUGUUUUCUUCUACAAAAUAAUUGAACAUACAUUAUCACUUCAAAUCAAGUGUCGGGGAAUUAUGCCUUCUUGCUUCAAUGUUAAUCUUGAUAGACAGCUCAUAUUUUUAGUCAUUCCCAUAAUUGUUGCAAUCAUGCCAUUAAUAUAUUUGUGACUAGUGUAUUUAAAUACCACAUCCACAAUCAUAGCUGUAAUUGCUCCAUGUAUCAAGCCAUUACAUGUGUUUAUAUACCCAUGUAAAUUAUGAAUGAAAGCAAGAGUUUUUCUGUUCAAGUUUCUGUUGUUUUAAAUCUAUCAACUCAAAGCUUUACUUAGAGUUAGGGAUGAAGAUAGGCGGGCUCACCCGAUCUAAUUUGAACCCAAUUGGAUAUUUGAACGAAUUUAAACAAUCAUUUUUAAUAAUCAGGUUGGGUUGAGUUAGGCUUUUUUCAACCUGAACUUAAUUUGGAUUGAGUUCGGAUUAAGGUUUAGACAACUAGAGUUUAACUUGAAUCCGAUUUAAUGUUUUUAUAAUAUUUAUAACACAUUUUAUUCUAUAUAAUAAUAUAAGUUUUCUUUUUCUAUUUUUAUGAAAAAUAUCAAAUUAUAUUAGAUACUAUGUUUUUUAUUAUUUUUAGAAAAUAUAUAAAUUUAUACUUAUUCUUUUAUUGCUAUCUUGAAAUUUUGUCCUAUUUGUUAUUAAAAUUUUCAUAUAAAUACAUUAAGAUAAUAUUAUACAUAGAUUUUGAAUUAUGCAACAUGACCAAUUCAAGUGUAACUUGAUCAAUCUGAAUUUAACUUAAACAACCCAAACUCAAUCUAAGUUUAGAAAAAUUAGAUUGGAUUCAACUUGAUUUAAAUACAUUGGGUUAGAGUUCAAGUUGGGUUGAGUUCAAAUUGAUUAUUUCUUAAUUCAAUUUAGGUUUAGGUUAGUCUUCAACUCGAUCAACUCACCCAAUUUACAACCCUAGAUAGAGUACCAACUUUCGAAUCAUACUUUAAUAAACCCAAAAGCCUAAUUAAGAGAUAAAAAAAAGCUACCUAAAAGCAAAUCAACUUGAAUUUUUAUCGAAAAAACAAUAUCAGUAAUACAUUUAAGUUAUGUUUGGUUUUUAAAAAAUGAAGGAAAAUAAAAAAUAGGAUUAAAGUUAAUAAAUUAUUUUUAUAUGCUAGCUUCUUCAAAUUCAUUUAACUUAUUUCUCUCAAUUACCUGAAGAUUAAAUAAUUUUUAAAUAUAUAAAUUUUUAAUGAAUUGUAAUUAUAAUUAAGCUAGGAGAGAUUUACAUUUGAAAAAGUACCAACAUCUUUAACCUAUCUGAGUCAUCUAAGAUAUGUCGAUAUUUCUUAUAAUAAAUAUGAGGUACUUCUUAAUGCAAUUACAAAGCUAAAGCAUUUACAGACAUUGAAACUUUUUCAAUGUUUGUAUCUUAAAGAAUUGCCAAAAAAAUAUAAACAAUCGGACAAACUAGAGGCAUCUUGAGAUUGAUGGGAAUAGUGGAUUGACUUUUAUGCCAUGUGGGUUAGGAGAAUUGACUAUGCUUCAGACUCUACCAUUGUUCUUUGUUGGGAAUAACAACAGGAAUUCUAGUGAUAAGAGAAUUGGUCAGUUGAAUGAAUUAAAAUGCAUUAACAACCUCAGAGGAGAAUUGUAAAUUGCACAACUUUCAAAUAUGAGGGGUGGUUGUGAAUGUUUGCAAAAAAAAAAAAAAAAAACCAUCACACAUUAUCGUGGUGAGUGUUUCUUCUAUAUAUUGUCAUUUACAAAGUACAUAAAAAUAGAAAGAAUAAAUAUGUACAAGAGAAUAGCCUAGAAUUAAGGACAAGAUAUUGAGCCGAAUAUUAAGGUAGCUAAUUAAAGUAAUGUAUCCUUGACACCCCCCACAAGCUGAGCGUCGGAUUUGAAUAGACAUGAAGCUUGGUACGAAAGAAGUCAAAGAGAGGGCGAGAAACACUUUUGGUGAAGAGGUCGGCAACUUGUAGAUGAGAGGGCACAUAUUGAGUGCGAAGUUUACCAACAAUAAGAAGUUCUCGAAGAAAAUGAUAGUCUAAUUCAACAUGCUUAGCCAGUUUGUGGGAAACGGGGUUGGAGCUUAAGAAAAUCGCACUUUUGUUGUCACACGGGAGAAUAGGCUUCGGUGUAAUGGGAACCUUAAGAUCAUGAAGUAGAUGGGUGAGCCAAAGGAGUUCAGCUGCAGUAGUGGCAAGGGUACGAUACUCAGAUUCACAACUAGAACGAGAGACAGUGGGUUGCUUUUUAGCACUCUAAGAAACCAGAUUAUCGCCAAGAUAAAUAGAGUAGCCAAAGGUGGAACAUGGAGUAUUGGGACAACCGGCCCAAUCAGCAUCAGAGUAAGCAACUAGGGCACUAGGAGCACCAAAAGGGCGAAAAGUAAGACCAAAGUGAAGUGUGCCCUUGACAUAACGUAAGAUGCCCUUGACCGCAAGAAAGUGAUCCUCAGUAGGGGCAUGUAGAAACUGACUAACAGAGUUGACAACAUGAGCAAUGUCAGGGCGAGUGAUGGUUAAGUAUUGAAGGGCACCAACUAGGGAUCAAUAGAGAGUGGGGUCUGAGAAGGCAGUACCAUCACUAGUCAGAUGCUGAAAGACAACCAUAGGAGUGUGAACAGGCUUGCUGUUAAAUAACUGGGCACGAGUCAGAAUAUCCCGGGCAUGUUUCAGCUGAUUGAUAAAAAGACCAUCAGUAAUGGAAGUGGCUUCCAGACCAAGAAAGUAGCUGAGAGAGCCCAAAUCCUUGGUGGCAAACUCAGAAUUGAGCUUGUGAGCAAAGCUAUCAAGAAGAGAAGAGUUGUUGCCAGUAAUGAUAAUGUCAUCAACAUACAAGAGCAAAUAAAUAAUGUCAGACUAUUGAUGAAAGACAAAAAGAGAGGUGUCUGCACGGUUGCAAGAAAACCCAAGGGUGAGAAGAAAAGAGUUGAAACGUUGAAACCAGGCACGAGGAGCUCUUUUGAGGCCAUAGAGAGCUUUCUUCAACUGACAGACAUGAUUCAGGUACCGGGGAUCAAUGUACUUAAGAGGUUGUUCCAUAUAACAUUUUUAGUGAGAGUGCCAUUGAGGAAUGCAUUCUUCACAUCAAGUUGGCGAAGAGGCCAUUUGUUGGUAACAGCAAGAUAGAGCACAACACGAACAAUAGUAACCUUAAUAACAGGAUUGAAAGUGUUAGUGUAAUCAAGACUAGGUACCUGAGUAUAGCCUUUGGCCACAAGACGAGCCUUGAGGUGCUCAAUAGACCCAUCAGGCAAAUAUUUGGUCCAUAACACCCAUUUGGAACCAACAAUAUUUGUGUGGGCAGGUCAAAGAACUAGAACCUAGGUGCGAUUAUGUUGCAGAGCUUGAACUUCUUCAUCCAUGGCAACAAGCCAUGCAGGAUUCUUAGUAGCAGACUUGAAUCAUUUAGGCUCGGUGGAGGCAAGAAGAGUAGAGAGAAGCCCAAAUGAGCUUAAGACAUUGAGAUUCGCCGGAUGACGGGUCUUGAAAAUGUCAACUUUAGCUUGAGUAAGCAUGAGAUGAGAACCCAACGGAAGAGCUAGAGUAGGAGCAACAUCAGAAGCAACAGGAGGUGGGCGAGGCUUCAGAGACGGGGAAGAUGGACCUACAAGAGAGUCAGUAACCUGCAAAGACUUGUCCAUUGGGUUAGUACAAAUAACACACGGGUUAGAUUCAGACGGUGUAAUGGAUGGAGAAUGGUGUAGAGGAGACAUCGGAGGGGGGUCAAUAUGAGGCAUGCUUGGUUAAAGGAAAUUCGAAAAAUGGAGAGAAGAAGGGGGUUGGGCUUGGGAGCCAUUUAUGGAGGGAAAGUGGUGUUUAUCAAAUUGAGCAUGAUGGGUGAUAUAAAGCUUAGAGGUGGUGGGAUCAAGACAACGAAAACCUUUGUGGGAAGGGCUAUACCUUAGAAAGAUGGAAAGAAUGCUGUGAGGGGAAAAUUUUUUAGACAUAUAAUCACGCAGACAAGGAUAAACAGGACAAUCGAAAUGAUGAAAAUUCUCAUAAUUAGGUUAUGAACCAUAGAGAAGCUCAAAUGGAGACAUACCUCUGAGAAGCAGUGUGGGCAAAAGGUUAAUGAUGUAGGCUGUAGUGCUGAAGGCAUCAACCCAAAAGCAAGGAGAAAGAUGAGAAUGGAAAAGGAGGGUCAGACCGGUUUCUGUCACAUGUCGGUGUUUUCUUUCAGCACGACCAUUUUGGGUGGGGGUAUAGGGGCAAGAGAGUUGAUGAUGAAUACCCGAGUUGCUAAGGUGGGCUUUGAAGCGAUUGCUUGUAAACUCAGCACCACCAUCACUAUGAAAAUUUUUGAUGCGAGUGGAAUGUUGGUUUUCAACAAGAUUUUGAAAGUGAAUAAAAAUGUCAUAAAAUUCAGAUUUUUAUUUCAAAGGGUAAAGCCAAGUAAAGCAGGAAUAAUCAUCAAUGAAUAACACAUAAUAAAUAAAUCCCGAAGUUGACUUAACGGGGGAAGGACCCCAAAUAUCGUAAUGAAUAAGAUCCAACACAUGAGACAAGCGACGUUCAUUACGAGAAUAAGGCAAGCAAUGAUUUUUUGCAAUUUGACACGUCACAUAAUGAAAGAGAAGGCAACAAUGAGGUAAGAUAAAGAUGGUCAUUUUUAUUUAAUAAAGAAAUAAUUGCUAACAUGUCCAAGACGAGCAUGCCAUAAAUCAUACGAGGCAUGAAGAGCCUUAUUUUUAAGAACAAAAAUGAAAGAGGAAUUGCCGCGCUCCAGCACAUAUAGACCACCAUCUCUUUUACCGGUUGCCACCACCCUUCCCGUUUGAUGAUUCUGGAUAGAAAAAAGUUAUUAGUAAAUGUAAUAGCAAGAAGAGGAAAACCGGAUGUUAAUUUACUAAUUGACAAUAUAUUUUCGUUAAGCGAGGAACAACUAAUACAUCCAAUAACUCAAGAGAUGGGGUAGGAGAGAUGGUACCGGUGUGGGUAAUGGGAAGGGAAGCACCAUUCCCGACAACUACACGAUCCUUACCCGUGUAAUUACUUGCUCGAUCCAAGUGGGAGAGGUCUGGUGUCAUGUGGGCUGAAACCCCUGUGUCCAGGUACCAGUCACUGGGCUUGGGCCUAUUAAGAGAGCAAGAGGCCUUAAAGACCUUAAAGGCCUCGACAAGGUUGGUUGUGGUGCCAACAGGUUCUCCACCUCGUGCAUAUCGCUGGUUUCACUUAUCAGCGUAGUGCCCUUCCUGGUGACAGAUCUGGCAGCGUGGCGGACGGCGGCCCUGCCCGGAGUUGGAACGACCAUUGCCACAGUGGGAAUAUGAGUGGCGACCUGAUUGAUGACGAGACUGGUUUAUGAAAGCUGAGCGAGGUUGACCAUGAUUGGUGGCUGUGAAAGCAGCUGUGGGUGGACCAUGAUUGUCAAGGGAUUUAUGGAAAAGCUUAAAGCUUUCAGCCUUGGAGAACAAAUCAGGAAAGGAGGGCAGUGGCGUUUGAGCCAUUUGGGCGGGUGGAAAAGCUUGUGAAAUCUGAACCAAGGCCACGGAGGAACCAAUGGACUUUAUCAGUGUUGUCGACUGGUCUUCCAAUGGUGUGGAGUUGAUCACAAAGGGCUUUGAACGCCCGAGCAUAUUCGGUUACCAAUCACGUCCCAUGUCUCAUCAAUUGAAGGUCAUCCUUGAGCCGAAUUUCUCUGGCUUUUGAUCAGUGACUGAAUAUAUUUUCGAGUGCUAACUAGACCUCGCAUGAGGUGGAGAGGCCCACAACCUCGGCCAUGGCUUCCUCCGUGAGGGAGGAGAGCAAAAGACUCAAGAGGCGCUGGUCAGUAUUUUUCCAUGCCAAGUGCUUGAUGUUUGGUGCCCGAGAGUCAACAGGAGCAAACCGUGGAGGAGGUGCAAGAGUUCCAUCCACAUGGCCGAGAAGUUCUUGGCUUUCAAGGAGAGGAAGAAGCUGGCUCUUCCAUAGGAGAUAAUUGGAGGAGGAGAGUUUGAUGGUCACCAUGUGAAUCAUGGUGUUGAAAGGGAGAAGGUGGGGGAGGUGUUUUUGAUAGCCAUUGAAGCAAGGGGGAUCGAUGGAGGCUAGUCCGAGAGGGCUCUGAUACCAUGUGAACGUUUUCAAAAAGAAAAAAACCACCACACAUUAUUGUGGUGAGUGCUUCUUCUACAUAUUGCCAUUUACAAAGUACAUAAAAAUAGAAAGAAUAAAUAUGUACAAGAGAAUAGCUUAGAAUUCAGGACAAGACAUUGAGCCGAAUAUUAAGGUAGCUAAUUAAGGUAACGUAUCCUUGACAGUGGUGCAUUAGAUUCCAAGGAAGCAAAUUUGAAAGGAAAACAGUGCCUUCAUGCCUUGAGAUUAUAUUGGUUGGAGCCAAUAGAAUGGAUGAUAUGGGACUUUGAACCAGAAAGGAACAACGUUGAGGAGGCUGAGUCGGUGACUCAAGUCUAAAGGAGCUCUACAUUAAGGAUUAUAUUGGUGAGAGGUUCCCAAGUUGGAUGAUGAAUGAUGGGUUUGGUUCAUUGCUCCCAAAUCUAGUGAAAAUUAUGAUGAAGAGGUGUAAAAGAUUCAGAGUUUUGCCACUGUUCGGUCAACUCCCUUCUCUUCAGUAUCUGGAGCUUGAGUGUUGUAUGGAGAACAUGAAGAGCUACUCAUCAUCAGCAACACCAUUCUUCCCAUCCCUGAAGACACUUCAACUUGAAAGGUUGCCUCAUUUGAUAGAAUGGGGAAAGAGGGACGUAGCAACAGAGCAAGCUCUUUCAUUUCCUUGUUUUUCCAAACUAAAGAUCAAAGUUUGCUGGCUGGCCCUAAAUUGAUGUCCUUGGCAUUGCCUUCAUCUCCUUCUAGUCUUUCUAUUCUAGAUAUCAAAGAAUGCAAUAACUUGGCAUCCUUGGCACUACCAUCAUCUGCUUUUCUUUAUGAUUUCUCAAUUAGACAUCAGUUCUUGCAAUAACUUGACAUCAUCGACACUUUCUUCAUUUCCUUGUCUUUCUCAAUUACAUAUCAAUUUUUGCCAGAACUUGAAAUCAUUACCAUUGUCUUUGUUCCUUGUAUUUCGAAAUUGCACAUCAGAUCUUGCCAUAAAUUUUUGCAAUAAAUUACUGUUUUUUGAGGAUUUGUUUUGAAAAUAAAUUACUUUUUGCAAUAAAUUUGAGGUGUUUUUGAAAAAUAAUAGUUUUUAAAUUUUUUUAAAACAUUGAGGUAUAAAAAAAAAAUUAUUAAUUACCUUAAAUUUAAAUUUUUUUAAAAGUGACUUAUUUUUAUUUCUAUUUUUUCUUCAGGAUUUGUAAGCCAUCUCUUAUUUGAUCAGGGACUUGUGGAGCUGUUGUCGUUACCUGUAAAAGCUUGUGCAUGAUGGACAAUGAUAUAGUACCAAACAGGAAAGGAUUUGGUGGAGCUUCCCUUUAAAGUAUGUGCAUGAUGAUGAAUUAUGAUCAUUUGAGGGAUUCACGAUUUUUAGAAAGAAAAAAGUGAAUUUGAAAAAGAAAAUGUCUGAAUGAAACUGACACCCAGCCUGUAAAGCACAAAGUGUGGUCAGACUAUACGAAUCAAACUUUAGCAACAUUGCCAAUGUAUUGGUCUCAGCAACACCAAUUUAAAAAUCCCCAUUAAACUCGGUAGCUCAGUGUUUACAGAUUUUGUGUUCAUGGCUGGCUCUCUUGAGAAUGCCAUGGUGCUGUCAUCAACAACCGAUGAAGAUGAGAAACAGAGGGAAAGUAGAAGCAAAAGAGAGAUCAUUUCCACCCUCCCAACUGAAAAAGGCUGGAAAAUUCAGGGUCUUAUGUACCAGUACCAAGGCUUUUGGUACUAUUCUGGGGGUGCUGUAGAAGGAGUCAUGUGGAUGCAAAAAUGCUUCAAGGCAAGGAAUGAAGAUGUUCUCUUGGUCUCCUUUCCAAGAUGUGGAACAACAUGGUUGAAAUCUCUCAUGUUUUCUAUCAUGAAUCGAACCAGGUAUGAUUUCUCAGCACACCCUUUGCUGACUUCUAGCCCUCAUGAACUUGUUCCCUUCCUGGAAUUCUACGCAGAGCAGAACAUCCCCUUCCCAGACCUGGACACACUUUCCUCUCCUCAGCUCUACCAUACUCACAUUGCCCUCACUUCAUUACCCCAACCUGUCAUAGACUCUCAGUGUCGAGUUGUCUAUAUCUGUCGCAACCCCAAAGAUGUGUUUGUUUCUAUUUUUUGUUCUCUCGAGAUGGAAUAUAGUGGUUCCCCUUGAAGAGGCAUUUGAGUUGUUCUGCAAAGGAAUUAGCUUCUAUGGACCCUUCUGGGACCAUGUUUUAGGGUAUUGGAAGGAUAGUUUAGCUUCACCCCAGAGAAUAUUGUUUAUGAAAUAUGAAGAUGUGAAGAGGGAUUCCUUGUGUCAGGUCAAGAGGUUGGCAGAGUUCAUGGGCUUUCCCUUCUCUUCCGAGGAAGAGGGACAAGGUUUGAUACAUGAAAUUAUGGAGCUGUGUAGUUUUGAGAAUCUAAGAAAUUUGAAGGUAAACAAGACCGGAGCAAUAUCUGUGGGCAAUGUCAGCACUGGAAAGGAUACUUUCUUCAGGAAAGGUGAGGUUGGUGAUUGGAAGAAUCAUCUGACAGCUGAAAUGGCCGAUCGCACUGACAGGAUCAUGGAGGAAAAGUUGAAAGGUUCUGGUCUGACGUUCAGCGACUCCUGUGAUAGCUGAUUAUUAGUGCUGGAGGUGAACUUCAUAUGAUUUGUAUUAAGUUAAUUUAUUAACUAUCUAAUUGUCUUCUGUUAAGCGUGCUUGUAACAAAUGGAAUGAUGGUGUUAAGUUAAUUUGUAUUAAGUUAUAAGGCUUUCUUAAUUUAUAUAUAAAUUCAAUACUUGGCUAAGAAAUCAAUUCCACCAAAUAUACACAUGGACCAAUUAAAUUGGUCUCCUGAAUAUAACUAACUCAUCCUUGUCAAGAAAUUCCCGAACCUUAAAAGGGCAACAUGUGUUUCAUGAGAUUGUUCAAUUUCUCCCCUUUUUUUUAUUUCAAUCUACCUAAACAAGCUCAAUUACAAUUAAUUUUAUCAUAUUUUAAAAAAUUUGUGUAACACGGGUCUCAUGAGCUUGUUCCCUUCUUGGAAUUCUACUUACAUCAGAACAUCCCUUUCCCAAAAUUGGACACACUUUCCCCUCCGCAUCUCUUCCAUACUCACUUUCCUUUUACUUCCUUACCUCAACCUGUCAUAGACUCUCAGUGUCGAAUUGUCUACAUCUGUCGCAAUCCCUUUCCAUUGAAGAGGAAUUUGAGCAGUUCUGUAAAGGGGUAUGUGUCUGUGGACCCUUCCGGGAUCAUAUUUUAGGGUAUUGGAAGGCAAGUUUGGAUUCGCCCAAGAGUGUUGUUCAUGAAAUAUGAAGAUCUGAAGAGGGAUUCCUCAUUUCAUGUCAAGGAGUUGGCAGAGUUCAUAGGCUGCCCCUUCUCCCCGGAGGAAGAAACCCAAGGUUUGGUACAUGAAAUUAUAAAGCUGUGUAGCUUUGAGAAUCUAAGCAAUUUGAAGGCAAACAAGAUAGGAGCAUUAUCCGUGGGGGAUGUUAGAUUUAGAAAGGAUACUUUCUUCAGGAAAGGUGAGAUUGGAGAUUGGAAGAAUCAUUUGACAGCUGAGAUGGCUGACCGUCUUGACAGGAUCAUUGAGGAAAAGUUUAAAGGGUCUGGUUUGACAUUCAGUGAUUCCUGAUCUGCAGAUGAUCAAUUGUUGCAAAUGUAACCAUAUUAAUGGUGUCAUGGAGGUGUAUCAAUUAUGGUUUGUAUUAAUAAAUUUGAAAUGUUUUCUUAGACUGCCUCUUGCAAUUUUAAUGUUUUUAUAGUGUAGUUAGUACUUGGUAUAGCUGUGAACCUACCAAUCAUUAGUUACACUACUGAUGGCUUAAGAUUACUUUUAAAUUAAAAUCAUGUUUAAUAACUUAAAUUAAGUCAUUAAUUAUUAAGUCAAAUUAAGUCAUUAAAUUGAUUUAUCAAAUAUCUGGUCAUCCCUUUCCUGGUAAGAGCCAUAGUAAGAUUACGAAGUUGUCUCAUUUUUCCCUUUUAUUCCUCAAUUUACUCAAAACAAAUUUAACUACAUCUGGUUUGAUCUCAAACCAUUCUCCAAAUCAAGGUCUUCGAACGAUCUCAUAUAUACGUAUGCUAGAUAGAGGGGUGAACAAAGCCCUUUAAUAAAGAGUUACUUGAUUAAAAUUGAUGAGAAAAUCCAAAUUUGCACUCUGUUCUUUCUUACUCUCCAUGUGAACUUCCAACUCCAUGUUCCUACAGCUUCUUCUGUUUCUAACAUAAAUAAAUCAUAUAGCACCAUUGAGAUGACUCAACAGCUUUGUACAAGAAAGCAUUUAAUAUUUUAAUAUAUAUAUAUAUAUUCAAAACUUAAAAAUAAAUUUAAAUAUUUUUUUAUUCAUGAUAAUAAAUAUCAAAAUAAUAUAGAUAAAACAACUAAUAAUUUUGAAAUUAAUAAAAUAUAUAGCUACUAAAAUCUAAUUUUAAAUAAUAGAAUCUUAUGUUAUAAGAAUAAUUAUAAGUUAAGCAUAUUUAAUAAAAUUAGAAAUGCUAAAAUUUUAAUAAAUCUUCAUGGCACCCUUAUCAUAAUUUAAUCUAUCAAUAUUAAUGAUAAAAAGAUGAAAUUUGUUUAAAUUUUUUAAUUUUUUAGGUUUUAACUUUUAAUAAUUUAUAAAUUAUAUAUUUGUGGCAUCACUAGUUUGACUACGGUUCAAUCAUCUGUCCAACCAUUGAACUGUGUAUCAAUAACUUUUCUAAUUCAACGAUUGAUCAAAUUCUAAAAACAUUUUAAUAAGUAAAACUAUAUUUUAGAAAUAGUUUUAUUAAAAAUAAUAAUAAUUAUGAAAUUAAAUUUUAGAACAAAUAGGGAUCUGAAUUGCACUCAAUUAUUAGGUGUGACCUUUGUUCCUCACAUGGGUAAAAAUUGGUUGUAUCUCCUUAAACUAUUGGAUGGGGGUAGUGUAGAAUGAUUUCUAAAACCAACAUUUUUUUAUUAGAUCUUUUUAGUAAAGUGAUGUGUUUUAUAAUUAUGUCUAGAUAAAUACACGUAUGCUGCACAACUAGCUUGACUCUUGGAUUUUGCCAUGUAAUUGAUGCAUGCCUUGAUUUGGUCAAGGGUUACGCAUUUGGAACAUGGAUGGGGCUUUAAUCAGUCCUAUUGGCAAGCAUUGUGGACACUAGAUAAAUUGCUUUAUGGCUUGGUUUCAUUAAGAUAGACCUUAAUGUCGAUAUAGGAAUUAGAGAGUUUCUUGUCUAGAAUUAAAGAGUUUCACUAUUCAAGAUGAUAAUUUGCAUUAAUAAAGAAAUUUGCAUUAAUCAGGCUUGGGAGCUUUAUCCUCACAAAAACCUUUAAGCGCCUCCAGCACCUCCUGCUUCGAAAACGGCUCCUCCAAACUGGCUGCAUCCACAGUCUCCAAUCUCUCAAAAGGCAAUCCCCUUAAAUUGGGUCUCCAACCUCCAGCAAAAGACAACAUAGAUUUAAACUUAGUCACCACCCCAUCUCUAAGCUCAUUCUCCUCUGUUAACCAAACUCCAUUUAUUUUGACAUGGGAUAACAUGUUCUGCCUCCUGUGAGUGUUAGCCAUCCUAUGGAAGAACUUAGUAUUCCUGUCCUCCUCUCUCAACUAGACUUCCCUGGAUUUUUGUCUCUAAGAUAUCUCUUCCAGCAAAGCCCACUUCUUAAAAUCCUCUUUAGCUCAUCUCCUUGCGUCCACCUCCUGAACAGAGAGAGGCCAAGAUAACUCCAUUUUGUCCCAGAAAUCCACCUGACUCAAAGCCAAAGUCUUAUUGACCUCCACUUUCCCAAACUCCAGCUUAUUCCAAUAUCUCAACAGAGGCUUCAAAGCUUUAAAUUUAGAAGCUAACACAUAGCUUGCAGAUCCACUAAAAUUGAGCCCCACUCACCACCCCUGCAUUUUUUCUUUGAACCCCUCUUCCUUCAACCACAUAUUCUCAAACCUGAACGGCAUCGGACCACUCCUUACUCCUCCCCCGUCUAGAAGAAUUGGAAAAUGAUCUGAAGUCGGCUUAGGAAGGACAUACUGCAUAAACCCAGAGAAAUGAUCCUCCCAUUCAUUUGAAAUCAGAAACCGAUUGAGCCUUGAAUGGGAUUGAUUGUUCAAUCCUCCCUUCUAGGUGAAGGAGCCUCCUUGCAAAGGCAGGUCCCUCAACUCUAAAUCCUCCAUAAUAUCCAAAAAUCUCCUCAUUGAAGCAGAUAAUCUGCCUCCCCUACUGCUCUUUAUAGGGAAUCUCACAACAUUGAAAUCCCCUGCCACACACCAAGGAUCACUCCAUAGACCCCUUACCGCUCCUAAUUCCGCCCAAAAAUCUUCCCUCUCUUUCAUCAACGAAGGCCCAUAAACUCCAAAGAAUAACCAACAAAAGUCGUCCUCACAAUUUUUGAAUCUGCAAGACACUGAAAAGUUCCCCACUUCCGCUUCCAAUAAUUGCAGCACCUUUUUAUCCCAUAACACCAGCACACCACUAGAAGCUCCCCUCGAAUUUAACACCUUCCAAUCCAGACAUCUUCCCACUCCGAGGCUUCUAACUAUCAUCUUUGACAUUUCCUGCAUCUUGGUCUCUUGUAAACACACUACAUCCACCUUUUGACCCUUGAUCAACGCCUUAAUCACCUUUCUUUUCUCACUAUCAUUAGCUUCUCUAAUAUUCCACGACAAAACUCUUAAUUUCAUAACAUCCACCUUAAUAACCCUCUCUCUCCUCUCUGGACCAAUAAACCUAAACUUCAGUUAGCAAUCUGAAGCAACCCCGCACUCUUUCUAGUCCCACAAUAAUUCACUGAACACUCCAAUUUUUUCAAUUCUCUCUCUGACUUGGAGACCUUUUGAACUUUUUUUUUCCGCCACAACACCCUUAAUAUUCUUUUGCUCUUCCAUUCCUCUUAAUAAUAAUAAUAAAACUUCCCCUUCAAAACCCUCCGUAGGCAUACCCAGACACUUACAAAGAUUUAUAAAAUCUCCAUUCAUCCACGAGCCCAACACACUUCUAUUAUCUUCCUCCGAAACUCUUCCCAUAACUUCUAUCGACAUUUCUCCCCCCUUACUCUCCUUAAUAUUCUUCUCCAUGCCGAAAGAAAUUUCCCUCUCCCUUCCACCAGCCUCAAUGAUUCUCAACGGGUCAGCCAUCCCUUCUUCGUUCACCAAAUAUGGCCCCUCGAGUGCCACCAAGUCCCGAAUAGCCAUAAAAUCCUCAUUUUUUUCCCUACAGAAAGAAAAAGAAGAAGAGGAAAGAUGUCCCCGAUCCCCGAAACUAAGAAGAGAACAGUUUUCGGGAAGUGAGUACCUGGAAACCUCCUCCAAGAGGGCCUCAUCUGCUCUAAUCUUUCCUCCUGCUUCAGCCCACAACGCAGCGCAGACAAUGGCCUCGACUAGCCUCGACUCCUCGCACGAAGACUGAAUCGUCGGAGCCCUAACUUUCAUAAAGCAAUCAUUGUGACCCAUCUGGGCUAUACCUUGGCCCAAUCCCCUGAGCCCACAUUCCUUUGAAAGACCCAAAGAAGGUUAACAACCCUUUUUACUAAGGCCCACUCCAAAACCCUCCUGGGCCACAGGCUUCUCCGGACCUAUAAACUGUCCACAGCCCCUUUGGGCUCCCCCCUUCUUCAAACUUCCCCCCUUACUUGACUCAACCCAAUAUUCCUUAGGCCCACUACCUUUACCCCUUAAGCCCAUUCCCUCUGAUGCAAAACCCACUUCUUCAGCUGCUCUCUUUCCCUUUCCAUCAAAGUCCUCACCUGCUUCAGUACCCCCCGCCAUAUCCCGACCAUACUCCAAAGUAUCAGCUCCUACCUGCUCUUCACUGCCUACCUCACUUGCUGCCAUGGUUCCUUGUACUCACGAUGGCCCCACACUGCUUCCCACGUGUGAAGCCAAGCAUCCUUCGUCUCUGCCUUGCGACUUCUCCCUUCCUUGCGCCGACACUGUUACCGACACCCAUGGCGACACCUCCCACCAAAGCUGAAUAGCGAAACACAAAGAGCCCACCACCAAAUAUAACACCCUAGGUAAAUCCUUUCCAUCCGAUUUCACUUAAAACCUUGCCCACUGGAGCUGAGAGAAGUUAGUUGUAUCCUCGUCCACAGCCACCAGCCCUCCACAGCUGUUCCCCAAUUUUCUGAACACUUCAUAGUUCCAGAAAUUGAGAGGGAGCCCCACCGCCCUCACCCAACAAAGGUUUGUAUGAACUCCAUGACGAAAACAACCUGCUUCCGGACCUCAUCUUUCUAACUGAAAAAGUUUGUCCUGAACACGUCGGUUUCCUCUUUGCAACACUCUUUCUGCUUCUUCUGCUAUCUCAAAUUUUGCAAGAAAAGAAGUGCCUCUCAAAUAUGAAAACCUCACUCUCUUUUUCAAGUUCCAUAAACGCCUUCCCCAUAACCUUAAACAAUCUAGAUUUGGACAUUGAUCAACCUCUGUUUCCCACCUUCCCACAAGACAACGCCCUAAUUGCUCAUCUCUUCCUUUUAAUGUUCUGCUCCCUAGCUGAAUCCACAUUGCGUCCCCUAUUCUUCCCGCCUUUACCUUUGCUACUUCAACAAAUGAACGCGUAUACUCCUCCCCCUUCUCCGUGUCUUCGUCUCUUCUUCCUUCCUUUGCUCCUACCCAACCUACACCCACCUUUAUUUUCAGCUAGCAGAUGAAUACCUAAAGAACAAAGCUUUUCAGCUAGCAAAACCCAUCCCCCAAUUAACCCUCUGCCUUCCGGAAACACCAAACUAAACCUUUUCGCUUCCAUAUCACGAACAGAACAGAUAAUGUACCUCCCCGCCUCAUUAGCACGCAAUUCUAAUAUGAAUUUCCUCAUCUCCUCUACCCAAGUUUUGAUAACUUUCCUGAACUUCUCCUCCUUGCAACAAGCCUCUACUCCCCCAAGCAAACUCCUUAACCCAUAAUCUCCGAACCUAAUCCAAUUGGAGAAGCCUUUACUUCUCUCCAUUAUGAUCCCACGAAGCUUCCCCCCUGAAGAGUAAAUCAAAAUCUCAAAGGAUUUUGAUUCCACCACAAAACAACAUCUACCCCCUCCAGCACCUCUAGCACCUCCAACACUUACUCUCUCCAUCAUAACAUAGGUAGUUAAAUAUUAAACAUCAAGACAUAUUCAAGCCAGUUCCUACUGAUGCAUCUCCAAGUAAUUUCUACUGCUUCUUUAAGUGCUUUUUCAACCUUAAUUCAAUCUCCUUAACUGUUUUACAGGUAGAGUCAUACUCCUUAUCAACUCCUUCAUGAGGUAUUAUAAAAAAAUUUAUCUACCUUCAAAAUUUUCAUAAAUUCUUAAUAUAGAACUUGCAAAGAAUCUUUCAUGACUAAACUCUUAGGACUCUUUAUGGGGAUUCAAAUCUCGAGGUGCGGACCACCUCGCAGUGACCAAUAUUGGGUAAAUUCAAGGUAUUAUCAAUGGUAUGAUUCAAAUUUAGGAUUAUAUGUCAUUUAUUGAGACUAUACUUCUCAGUAUUCAUUCUAACUAAUUAGGUUAGCCUGAUAUGUGAUAUAUUAAUUAUGUAUUAAUUAUAUGUUAUUAUUGAUAUAUAAUUGGUAUAUAUGAAAAUAAUUAACUCGCUUGCAUCAAAUUGCUAACCUAUGCUCUCUUUAGGUUUUGCAGAUCGUUAUGAUGUGCCUUUAUUUUUUUUUUUUAAUAUUAUCUAAGUUGUUAUAAAAACACGCAUUUGAAUUGAUUUAUGAUAGUGUUAAGAGUAAAAAGAAAAUUAAGACAUUAUCAUACUUAUUUUAAUACCAAAUGCAAAUCUUUAAUAAUUGGUAUGUCUUGAAAACAAAAAUUAAAAAUGAUAAAAUGUGAUAAUUUUAAAAUAAUUAAAUUGUUGAGUUUCUUAUUCCCAAUCAUGUGUUAACACAACUUUUCUUGAUUGAUGAAGAGAAUUUUUAAAAUAUGUAAAGAUUAUUUAUUCUUUCUUCCAUUAUUAUUAAAUUGGAAUCAUGGUGUUGCAACUUCGAAUUGUCUCAUGAGUUGGUGAAGUCAAAUGAUUCGUACUUGAUUUCAACUUGGGUUACUAUUAAACUCUACGAUACCAACAUUACUAACUCUCGUAUUAAACUUGUUGUACCCCAUGGUUAAGAUGGACAUGAGUCGAUUUAUAUGCAUCAGUAUUUGUUGAAACUUUGAACUAUGUGACAACAUGUUAUAGUGUAUUUUUAUGUCUAGAUAUCCAAAAUGUUGACAUUAGUUAUCUUCACGAUUACUUUUACUACUCCAUGACUUCUACUAUUAUUCGACAUUUUUUUAUCUUAAUUAUUGUUUAUAAAGAUAAAUAUGUCAAUUUAUUAAUUUAAAAUCAAUUUUAAGUUAAAUGUAUUAAACAAUCUUUAUAUUUAAAGUAAAAAUUAAGUAAUAAAUUUUAAGUCAAUAAUUUAAAUAUAAUUUAACUUAAAGUUAACUUAAAUCAUUAAAUAAUAAAUAUUAAAUUUUUACCGAACACCUUUUCAUGUAAUAUUUGUUUGUUUUUUUUUACUUGAUUUUACUUAUUUUAUUUUCACCCUUAUUUUCAUUUUUUUUAUUUUGACUUUUGAUAAUGUCUUAUUUUGAUUUCAUUUUUUUUCAUUUGCAUUUAUUUUUUAUCUAUAUUUUAGCUUUCGUUUUAAACAUUCAUUUUCUCUAUUUUUAGUCUUUUAUUUUCAAACCCAUUUCUUUUAUUAUUAUUAUUGUUGUUGUUGUUGUUCAUUUUGCUAGUGCUAAAAGGUGAAAAUAAUUUUAGUGAUUAAUGUGAAUUUGAGAUCAUUUGCUAUGUUUGGUCACAGGAAAGUUUGAGGGAAAAUGUGAGAAAAAUAAAAUAGAAAGGAAAAGUAGAAGAAAAGAAAACGUGAAAGAAAAUAAAAAGUAGAUUGAAAGUUAAUAAAUCAUAUUCAUUUUAUACUUCAAACUCAUUUCACUUAUUUAACUAUUUUACAUAAAGAUUAAGUAAUUUAAAAAUAUGUAAGUUUUUCACUAAUUUUAAUUAUAUUCAACUUUUAAAUAUUUUUUUUAAUAAAACUAAACACGAGAAAAUAAUUUUCUUUAGCAUAUUUUUUAGUAUUUUUGGGAACCAAAUAUAGCCUUAAAAUUAGAAAGAAAAAAAAUAAACUAAAAAAAGAGAGUGAAUGAAGUUAAGAAGAGAAGGAGGUUGCAUGUGGCCUUAUUUGAUAACUGUUUAAACAGUUCUAAAAAAUAUAAUUGAAAAAUAAUUUUUUAGAAUAGUUUUUGAAAACUAUUAUUUGAUAUUUUAUAAAAUAAAAAUUUGUCUUUGAACUUAAAAUUUUUUUGACUUAUUUUUAAUAUUUUUAAAUAUAUUUUAAAAAUAAUUUUUACAUCUAGAUCUUUAUUUUUAAUCAUAAUACAUAUUUGUACAAUUAUUUUUUAAAAUAAUUUUAAAAAAACAAGUAAAAAAAAUUAAAAAAAUUCUCUAAAAAUGUUAUAUUUUUUAUUUUUGAUAACAAAAAAAAAAAAUUCUAAUUACUAAAUAUUUUUUAGUUUUUUUUUUAAAACAGUUGUCAAACAUUCACAUAACUUUGACUAUUCCCUUUUUGUUCAACAAGAGUGGCAGAAUUUCAGGGAUGGAAUGGAGAGCAAUUAUUUAUUUAUUUAUUUUUAAAAAAGGAUUGAAAGCAAGGAAAAGACUAAAGGCUUUGAAAAGUAAAAGAAAAUACAGAGGAAAGGUGGCAAAAAUUGGGUAUGAGAGGGCACAAAUGGUAAAUAAGGUCAUUGUCCCAUUGUACAUCUUUAUUUUAUAAUGAUAAUGAGAAGGUGAUAGACUCGCAUAUACCCAAAUAAAUCCAUAUAUGCACAUCUUUAUUCUAUAUUCUCUCUGAUCUAAAAUAAUAUCAUGUCACAUCCAAGUGUGAACACUCAUAAAAGUAAGAAUGGUCGUGCCAACUAGCAUUCACAUGGGUCUCUCUUUUUCUAGCCCUUUGAACAUUUUCUUUAAUGUAUCCAUCCUUGAUUCUCUCUUUAGGACCUUUGGACUUUUCUAAAGUGAUCCCCUAUGAUUUAUGCUAUGAAAAGACUAUUUUUACUUUUAUGGGUACUCACAUAAAUUUAUUGAAAAAAUAGGAAAAAGAUGUACAUUUAUAAUAUAAAUCAUGGUGAGACCAAUUCUUCUAGUUUAACUCUCCUAGUUAAGAUUUCGUUUCAAAGUAAUUUUGACUUAAAAAAAUGUUUUGAAAAAAAUGAGAUAUUUUGACAAAUUUUAGAAAACUUGGAAAAUUACUUAUAAUAUUUUAUGGAGAAAUACUAUUCUUUUAAAAAUACUUUUAGACAAAAUAUUUUUUUUAAAAAAUAUUAUAAAUAGAAAUACUGUUAAAUGUACUUGAAUAAUGCGUUUAACAGUAAUUUUAGAAAAUGUUUCUAAUUUUUUUAACACUUAAAUUAUAUAUAUAUUUUGUAAUAACUUUAUAUUUUGAUUUGUCAUUUUGAUUCUUUGAUAUUUGAAUAAUGUCAUAGUUAUGUGAUUUGUGCAAUUUUGUGAUUUAAACUUGAUUACAUUGCAUAUUUCUACAUGUUCAAUGUCCAUUAAUAUUGUAUCUAAAUUUAUAUUUUAAUUUAUUUAGGGUUUAUUUGAAAUGAAAUAUGGCUUAAAUUUUGAUAAAUGAUGGGAAAAUGAGAUGGUGGUAAGCUAUAUUGAUUUUGUUUUAUUUCUGAAUUGUUGUGUUUGUGUUGUAUGUGGUUGUUGGGAAGAAUACGGAAAAGAGAAGAAAAAUAUGAGUAUUGCAUGUGAAGGGAAUACAAUUUUUAGGAAUGUUCAAACAAUUUGUUGUUUAAUGUUGUUUAUAUGGGAUUCGAGAUGUUUUGUUGUUUAAUGUUGUUUAUCUGGGAUUCCAAAAUGAGUAAUUUGAGUGAUUUUUAUAGUUGUUAAUUGGUGAAUCUAAUGCAUGGGAAAAGAAUUCAUGUUUAGUCAUGAGUAGAUGAGUAUAAAUUUUAAAAAUGAUUGGGAUAAAAGUUUGAAUAAAUUUUUUAAUAAAAGUUUUGAAUUUGUAAUGAAUAAGGAUUGAAUUGAAGAAGAAAAUAAAACAAAUUUAGUAAAGUGGGCAUGAAUUUAUGUGGGAAUUAGGGAAAAUAGUAUUGGAGCCUUAGGUUCAAAAUUGAUGGUCACAACCACAAAUAUGAAAUUUGUUUUGUUUAUGUGUGUAGUGGUCAUAGUAAGGGUCUACCCUUAGAUGAAGGGGUUGGCCGUAAUUCAGUUAAUGACAUUUGGAUGAAAUUAUUGUUUUCGUAAGAGGUUGCAGUAAGUGAAUUAAAGGCUGACCCAUUUGUUUGGAGGUAGGCCCUUAGUUAUAAAUAUUGUUGUGGUUUAAUCUGGAUAGUAGGCAAAAUAAAGGCUGACCCAUUUGUUUGGAGGUCGGCCCUUGGUUGUAAACAUUGUUGUGGUUUAAUUUGGGCAGUGGGCAAAAUAAAGGUUGACCCAUUUUUUUGGAGGUCGGCCCUUGGUUGUAAACAUUAUUGUGGUAUAAGUUGGGCAGUAGGCAAAAUAAGGGUUGGCCCAAUUGUUUGGAGGUCGGCCCUUGGUUGUAACAUUGUUAUGGUUAAAUUUGGGCAGUGGGCAAAAUAAAGGUCGACCCAUUGUUUGAGGGGGUGGCCCGAAGAGAGUGAAAUUAGCACAAUUUGGCUUGAAGAGUUACCAAAACAAUGGUUAGCCUAUGAAUUGAGAGGUUCACUCCCUAAAUUAUAUAACAUAACAAAUUACUACGCAGUAAAAUAGAAUAAUUGCAUUGCUUAAUGUUAAGUAUACACUAUGCAUGUCUAUAUUUACAUCAUUAAUUGUAAACUAUGAAAUGUAAAUGAAGCUCGUUUGUAAAGUUUCAAAGAUAAAUGAUGUAUUAAUAUAUGAUGGUCAUAGGCAUGAUAAUAAGUUUUGUUAUAAGUAAGUUGGUUUAUGCAGUGUUAUUAAGAAAUUAGUUAAUUGUUUUAGCUUGACUAAAGGUUCAUGCUUCUAAACAGGGGCUGCACAUGAUCGAGUAGCAUUUAAAUGGAUCCAAAUAAUACAAUUUAUUGUUAUCUGCACAUUGGAGGAGAGCUAGUAAGGGAUGAACAUGGCAAUGUGGAAUAUAUGGGUGGGAGACGAGAGGGUCUAAGUUUAGAACGAUCAAUGACAUAUAAUGAUUUUGUUUCAAGGAUUUGUGGGAAAAUGAACAUCAAUAUAGUGGGACCAACAUUUUCAUAUACUCUCCCAUUUGAUUUAUAUGCACUUCAACCAUUGAAAAAUGAUGAAGACUUGACAAACAUGUUUCAAUUUAGUGACCGAUGUGCACGUGUAUAUAUAUGUUUAACAUCAACAGUUGAAGACGAUGAAAUGAUUGAGAAUGGAGGACAAGGGUAAGUUAUAUCAAAAAAAUAUGUAAUCUUAAAUGAUUCCAUGUAUUUAUUUAUUUUGUAAUAUUUAUGUUUAUUCAUUAGAUGUUAUAAUGCAGCUUGAACGAAACAAUCGUAGGGUCUAACUCGCCGGUCCCAUAUUCAACAAGAGAUGUUGAUAUUAGAAUGCAAUCACGAGGAUUUCAUCAAAGAUGUGCUAAAUCACAUGUUGGUCCACUAGAGUCAAGCCGUUUUGAGAGUGCAAUAUUGGGUAGUGGGCAUACCUUCUCAACUGCAAAUGAAUUUCGGGAUGCAAUAUAUCUCAUGUCAGUAGGAGGCCGUUUUAGAUAUAAGUUUAAGAGGAAUUGUCUUAAGCAUAUGACUGUAAUAUGUGUUGUUGAAGGAUGCCCUUGGAAAGUAACUGCUCAUGCUGUUGGGAGAACAAAAAUAGUUCAAGUGCAUACAUUUAGAAAUGAACAUAACCACUCUUUAGAAGAUGUGUCAAUUUCCGAACCAGUAGUUCAUUGUAAUCGAGCCACAACUAUGAUUGAUGAUGUUAUUCGUUCAAAUCCAGAUUACUUACCCCGUCAAAUAUGUAAAGACUUUCGUCGACAAUACGGAAUGCAAUUGAAUUAUUGUCAAGCAUGGAACUUGAAAGAGAAGGCUAAAGAACGAAUUCAUGGUGUGCCGCAAUGUUCAUAUAAGUUGUUACCUUGGUUAUGUACAAGGCUUAUUGAAACAAAUCCAGGGACGAUUGCUGAAUAUAGAUGUUCGGAUGAUGGUCAUUUUAUGCAAUUGUUUGUUGCCCUUUCAGUGUCAAUACAUGGGUUUCAACUGGGAUGUCGGCCUAUUAUAUCAAUAGAUUCAUCCCACAUGAGUGGGCCAUACAAGUGUGCUUUAUUUUCAGCUUCUUCCUAUGAUGUUGAUGAUGGCAUGUUUCCACUUGCUUAUGGCUUAUUUAGCUCUAAGAAUUACGAGGAUUGGCUUUGGUUUUUAGAGAAAUUGAAGAUGGUCAUAGGUGAAAGAGAUGUUAUAAUAAUAUCUAAUAGGCACCAAGGGAUUAUCCGUAGUGUUUCAGAGGUAUUUGGUAGUGAAAACCAUGCACAUUGCUAUCGUCGCAUUAAAGAAAACUUUAGUAGCUUUCUAACAAAGCUAAACACUAAAGGGAGGAAAGGAAAGGAAAAUGCUUUGCAAAUGCUUGAUUCUAUCGCCUAUGCUAGGUUAGAUUGUGAUUAUGAGGUUGCAAUGGAUACUUUAAGGACAUUUAAUCAUGAUUUGGUGAAGUGGGUUGAAGAAAAUAACCCUCAACAUUGGGCAAUCUCUAAAUUUAAGAAGAUGCAUUAGGAUAAGAUGACAAGUAAUUUGGCCGAGUCUUUUAAUUCUUGGUUAAGACAUGAACGACACCAUAACAUUUGUGUUUUCUUCAUCGAGCAUAUGGAUAAGUUAGGAUCUCUUUUAGCCGAGCAUAAAAAUGGACUUGUAAAAUGGAAUGGGUGUAUUGGUCCUAAAACAGAAGAAAAGAUUGCAUUGAACAUUGGAAAAGGUGAAAAUUAUAUCACUUAUUUACACUUGGGUAGUUCGAUGAAAGUAUCCAAUGGAAAAGCAUUCCUGGAAGUGGACUUAAUGGAGCGAACUUGCAUAUGUAAAGCAUGGCAAAUGUCUGGAAUCCCAUGUGAUCAUGCUUGUGCAGCUAUACGGCGAAUGGGGUUUGAUGUAUCUGAUUAUGUUGAUGACUGGUAUAAGUACAAUUUGCAAGAGAAGAUAUACUCUGGAAGCAUGCGUACUUUGGUAACGCAUGACAUGCCAAUGAUUGAUGAAGAUGGAACCGUUCGUGAUGCCUUGGGUCAUACUUAUCCCUUUCUUAAUCCUCCAACCACAAAGCGACCUCCUGGAAGACCUAGGAAACGUCGAAUCGAGUCUCAAUUCAUGUAAAAAAAAACAGUUCAUUGUUCUCGUUGUAAUCAGUCUGGGCAUAAUCGUGCGACAUGUAACAACCCAUUGCUGUAAGUUUUUUUUUUAUUAAACUUCAUAAUGUAAGAUCGACUUUAUAUUAGUAUGAAAUAGUUUGGUAAUCUUCGUUGUUGUUUCCUUGAUUAUAAGCAAUGAGUAAUUUAUUGGAUUUGAAGUGUUUGGUGUACAUAUAUUGUGAUUGUAUGUUGUUCUUCAAUAUUAUGGGAUAUGUUACAUGAUAAUGUAAUUGUAAUAGCAAAAUAUGUACCUUGGUCAUUAUUGUUCAAAGAUGGCAUUGAAGUGACAUAGAUUCAUAUGGCGUCCUUGGCAAAAAAACGAGAUUGUUAACUAGUGGGCAUAAUCGUGGCCAACCUUUACAUGUAGGGGCUGCUGCUUUUUGGCUGAUGACCCUUAAGCAUAUUAUUUAGUUUUGUGUGAAAUGGGCAGUAGCCAAAAUAAGGUUGUGCCUGUUAGAUCAUAGGCAACCCUAUCGUUUUUCAUCUUUAAAAUUGGUUUCGUAUUAUGUGAGGUGUCUGUAAAAGGGAGAUUGAACCAUUAACACCAUGGGAAGGCAUUCGAACAUUAGUUUAGUAUGUUAUGUGCAGAAGGCAAUCUAGGGGCGCACCUUCCAUUUGAAAGGCAUGCCUAUGUGUUAAUGAUAUUAUAUAACUAUGCUACAUGCAGAAGGCAAAGCAGGGGUGCACCCUUGGUUGCAUAGGUAUGCCCAUGGGUAUGAUAACUUUAUUGGGAAAUUCUAUAUGCAGUAUGCAAAGUAGGGGCACACCCUUGAUUUUAGGGGCAUGCCUAUUGCUAAAACCAUUAUAUUGGUAAGUUAUGUGUAGUAGUCAACCUAAGAGCAAAACCUUGAUGGAAGACACAUAAAUAUGUGUGAAAAACUUCUUUUUGUUAAGCUACUUGCAGUAGGAAAAAGAAAGACAUGACUCUCUGUCAGAGGCAUGCCUUUAGGAUGACUAGAGUUGAGGUGUGGGUUGGGCAGUAAGGCGAAUGGAGGCAUACUGAUAGCUUAAAGGUUGGCCCUUGAUGUUCAUAUGAAAUAAACGUUGGAAAUGAUUCCUUGUUGAUUCAAAAUCAUAGAUUUUUUCUAAAAAUUUAAUUAUUCAAUUUUUAAUUUAUUUUUUAUUAUCUUAAUUUUUAACUACUUUUUUUAUUUAGCUCAUUAAUAAUUUUUUUUAUUUAUCCGUUUACUUUUAUUUAAUUUCAAAAUUUUGUAUUUUUAAAUAUCACAAAAAUAGUUGUGCUGAGAAUAUGUUACAAUAUAACAAAAAAUAUAAUGAAGUCCUAAUAUUUUAUAACUAAAAAUUAAUUUGAUUAGAUAAAUGAUUAAUAAUUUUAAUUAUUUAAAUAAAUUAAUUUUAAUAGAAAAAUUGCCACCACAUAUUUGUAAUAAAUUUUUAGAAAUCAUAUCUCAAAUCAAAUAUUUGAUAUAAAUCAAUUUAGUUUUUAUUUAAAAUUUAAUAAAAUAUGUUUUAAUAAAAGUAUUUUUUAAUUUUAAAAUAAAUAACAUAAAUAUAUUAAAUGUAAUUAUGACCCAUCCAUGCUCAGAUGGGGGUCCUGGAAUCACUAGACUUGGAUGUACCAAAUUUAAUGAAGGAUGUACCAAAUUUUGUUAAAGAUGUACCAAGGGCUCCAAAGUGUGAUCCGAAGUGGGGAUCGACUCCAAAUCACUUUGUUAUGGGUUUCUAAAUAAAAUAGUGGCUCAUCCAUGGUCAGAAGGGGGUCCCGGAAUCACUAGGCUCGGAUGUACCAAAUUUAAUGAAGGAUGUACCAAAUUUUGUGAAGGAUGUACCAAGGGUCCAAAAAUGCAUUCCGUAGUGGGGAUCGACCCCCGAUCACUUUGUUAUGGGUUUCUUAAAGAAAUUACAGACCAUCCACGUUGAAAUGGGAGUCUCGGAAUCUGUCGGAUCGGAUGUACCAAAUUUAAUGAAGGAUGUACCAAAUUUUGUGAAGGAUGUACCAAAUUUUGUGAAUGAUGUACCAAGGGUCCAAAAAUGCUUUCCGAAGUGGGGAUCGGCCCCAAAUCACUUUUUUUUGGGUUUUUAAAUGAAAUAGUGGCUCAUCCACGGUCAGAAGAGGGUCCCAGAAUCAUUAGGAUCGGAUGUACCAAAUUUUGUGAAGGAUGUACCAAGGGUCCGAAAAUGCGUUCCGAAGUGGGGAUCGACCCCCAAUCACUUUGUUAUGGGUUUCUAAAUGAAAUUAUGGACCAUCCAUGUUGAAAUGGGGGUCUCGGAAUCUGUCGGAUCGGAUGUACCAAAUUUAAUGAAGGAUGUACCAAAUUUUGUGAAGGAUGUACCAAAUUUUGUAAUGAGUACCAAAUUGAUGUACCAAGGGUCCAAAAAUGCUUUCCGAAGUGGGGAUCGGCCCCAAAUCACUUUGUUAUGGGUUUUUAAAUGAAAUAGUGGCUCAUCCACGGUCAGAAGAGGGUCCCGGAAUCACUAGGAUCGGAUGUACCAAAUUUUGUGAAGGAUGUACCAAGGGUCCGAAAAUGCGUUCCGAAGUGGGGAUCGACCCCCAAUCACUUUGUUAUGGGUUUCUUAAAGAAAUUACAGACAUCCAUGUUGAAAUGGGGGUCUCGGAAUCUGUCGGAUCGGAUGUACCAAAUUUAAUGAAGGAUGUACCAAAUUUUGUGAAGGAUGUACCAAAUUUUGUGAAUGAUGUACCAAGGGUCCAAAAAUGCUUUCCGAAGCGGGGAUCGGCCCCAAAUCACUUUGUUAUGGGUUUUUAAAUGAAAUAGUGGCUCAUCCACGAUCAGAAGAGGGUCUCGGAAUCACUAGGAUCGGAUGUACCAAAUUUUGUGAAGGAUGUACCAAGGGUCCAAAAAUGCGUUCUGAAGUGGGGAUCGACCCCCAAUCACUUUGUUAUGGGUUUCUUAAAGAAAUUACAGACCAUCCAUGUUGAAAUGGGGGUCUCGGAAUCUGUCGGAUCGGAUGUACCAAAUUUAAUGAAGGAUGUACCAAAUUUUGUGAAUGAUGUAGCAAGGGUCCAAAAAUGCUUUCUGAAGUGGGGAUCGGCCCUAAAUCACUUUGUUAUGGGUUUUUAAAUUAAAUAGUGGCUCAUCCAUGGUCAGAAGAGGGUCCCGGAAUCACUAGGAUCGGAUGUACCAAAUUUUGUGAAGGAUGUACCAAGGGUCCGAAAAUGCGUUCCGAAGUGGGGAUCGACCCCCAAUCACUUUGUUAUGGGUUUCUAAAUGAAAUUAUGGACCAUCCAUGUGGAAAUGGGGGUCUCGGAAUCUGUCGGAUCGGAUGUACCAAAUUUAAUGAAGGAUGUACCAAAUUUUGUGAAGGAUGUACCAAAUUUUGUGAAUGAUGUACUAAGAGUCCAAAAAUGCUUUUCGAAGUGGGGAUCGGCCCCAAAUCACUUUGUUAUGGGGUUUUAAAUGAAAUAGUGGCUCAUCCACGGUCAGAAGAGGGUCCCGGAAUCACUAGGAUCGGAUGUACCAAAUUUUGUGCAUAUUGUGUGGCCUAGGGUGAAGGGGAUCCUCGUUUGAAAAGAACACACCAUCUUCUACGUUGGGUCUUUCUGACACCCCUUCAUUUGUACAUCCAACGUCAUCUUCAAAAGAUCUUCUUUGACCACCAGAAUGAACAGGUGAAUGUUGUGGAUUAUUUGUAUAAAAUGGUGCACCACUUUCAUUAACAUGUUCAUGAAAAUUUGACGGUUGGCCUUCAUCUGUGCGAUAGUGUGAAGAGGUGAAACGAGUCCUCAACACUUUCACGUCACGGUUGUAUGAUGCAAUAAGACUAUUAAGAUGACUUUGUGCAUCGGUGAUUUGACGUUGUGUUGCCUCCAUGCGAGCACAAAUAACCUAAGUCAAACAUAAUGAAGGAACAUUAAAUGACAUAUAUUUAAACUAAGCCUUAAUAUAAGUUACUAUUCAUAGUCAUUAGGUAUGAAGGAUUACAUCAAAGUCUUCAUUCUCAUCUGGGUCAACUGGGUCAUCAACUGCAGGAGCCUUAUUUUUUUCUGUUUCAUCUUGCUCCGCCGAUGUGCUAACCAACUAUCAUUGCAAAACAUGUAAAUUGUCAUCCCAAUAAUCUAAUUACAAUGGUAAUCAACUAUCUUAAUAUAACUAAAAGCUAAUUAUACCUCAACUUUGCCAAAUCCUCCAAGCAUUUCUAACUCCAACUUGAUGCAUUGCUUGACCAAAAAAUCAUUCCAUGCAGCAAUGCGAGGAGUGGUAAGUUCCACAUACAUGGCUGGAAAAUUAGAUAUUGAAAAGUAGAAUAUCUGAUGCAUUAUAUAAGACAUAAUUAGUGGUAACAUCAUGGCCAACAUAGUGUAUAACCAUUAUUGAAUAUCUAAUACAUGGACAUAUACUUAUAAAUAAGACAAAAAGUUACCUGUAGAAACAUCAAACACCCUUUAAUCCAAACACUUUCUUUCCUCCUAUGUUCAUGUAUAGCUUGAAUAAAAAAUUCUAAGACAUAUUCUCCCCAAUUUAUGUUCCCAAGUAACUGCUCUCGGGGUGUAUACCAUAACGAGUGACUACCUUCCAAACGAGAAGUGGGUGCCAAUAAGGUUGCACAAGCGAAAAUCAAGAAGACCCGUUUAAAUUCCUCCAUAUCAUCGAUGCCAACCAUCAUUGACUCUAUAUCUUGCAAACUCGGCAUUUGACUAGCUUUAACACUUCCCUUCUCAACAAUUAACUUUCUUCCACUAUGUGGAAUGCCCAUCGUCAUCCCAACAUCAUGACAUGUCAAAGAAACCUUCUUACCCACAAAUAACUCGAGUUGGGAAUAAGCAAGGUUUGUGUUUUUUAUCAACCAAAAACAUAAAUCUAAAUUAACCUCCUUACAACCUAAUUGCAAUAGCCCACCAAAACCAAGUUCUCAUAUUACAUCCUUCUUCACUUCUGAGAGCAAAUGGAUUCCAGAGAGGAAUCUACGGCCAGAACAACAACACCGUAUGUUCAUAUUAUCAUUGCAUUAAACAACCAUAAUUCAUUAAUAAAUUAAUAAAAUGUUAAAGACAUGUGAACGUGAAUAUAGUGUUCCUAUAUACAUUCAUCAUAAUUAUUACACAAAUAUAACAUAUAUUAACAAAGAAAUGGGAAACAUUUUGUUACAUCAUGUAAAUGAUAAUCAUUGAGAUCGGUUUCCUCUAGCCUUUCAAUAAUAUGGUUAUCAAUAAGGGUGAAAUUUUUAUAUAUAGGGUCACCCACUAUGAUACCCACUGCAAAAAAAAAACAGACAAUGUGCAUUUUAGUGGGUCAGCCAAUAAAAACAAAUGGUACGCCUUAAAGUUACAUACUCAUCUAACCAAAUCAAUAUAGUUUAGGGAAAAGUGGGAUUUGAUUCACUAAUAAGAAAAUAUAUGGUAAAAAGAAUCCCAAAUAUUUUAAAUUAGUAUUAUCUUCAUCUAUUUAAAAAUAAUUUGAAAUACAUGCAAUGAGUUAUCCAAUUAUUCCAAAAAAUGUCAUUUUAUUUUUUAUGUUAUUCAAAUCAAUUGACAACUAUACUCCUCCAUAUAAAUGUUUCCUUAUUAUUUUAGAUUUUUUUUUUUAUUAUUUUAUUAUUUUAGAUUUUUUUUCCUCUAGAAACAAACACCUUAUAGGAUUCUUAUUUUAGUUUUCUAAAAGUUUAGGAAAUAUUGUCAAACAAAUCAUAUUUAAUUAUAAUUACCAAUUCAAGAAGUAAUAAGAUUGUUUAUUAAAUAAUAAAGAAUAAACUUCGUAAUAUAUAAUUAUUUUAAUAUUAUAACAAAUUUAUUAUUGAAAAACUCUAAUAACAAAUUUUAUUCAUUAUUAUAUUAAACAAUUAUUAAUAUUAUAUAAUAAAUAGAAAUUUAUUAUUGGUUUAUUUAUUAUCAAGAAUACGAAUCUAUUUUUAACUUAUUAAUACUAUAAUAAAUUCUGUUUUUUUUUUCAAAUUAUUACUUUAUAAUGUUUUUAGAGAAAAAAAAUUUCCCAAAUAAUAAAAUAAUAAAGUAAUAAUAAUAAUAAUAAUAAUUUAAGAUUAUUGACAACUACACUCCUCCAUAUAAAUGUUUCCUUAUUAUUUUUAGAUUUUUAUUUUAUUUUAUUAUUUUAUUAUUUAAGAUUUUUUUUCCUCUAGAAACAAACAUCUUAUAGGAUUCUUAUUUUAGUUUUCUAAAAGUUUAGGAAAUAUUGUCAAACAAAUCAUAUUUAAUCAUAAUUACGAAUUCAAAAAGUAAUAAGAUUGUUUAUUAAAUAAUAAAGAAUAAACUUCGUAAUAUAUAAUUAUUUUAAUAUUAUAACAAAUUUAUUAUUGAAAAACUCUAAUAACAAAUUUUAUUCAUUAUUAUAUUAAACAAUUAUUAAUAUUAUAUAAUAAAUAGAAAUUUAUUAUUGGUUUAUUUAUUAUCAAGAAUACGAAUCUAUUUUUAACUUAUUAAUACUAUAAUAAAUUCUGUUUUUUUUUUUCAAAUUCUUACUUUAUAAUGUUUCUAGAGAAAAAAAAAUCCCAAAUAAUAAAAUAAUAAAAUAAUAAAGUAAUAAUAAUAAUAAAAUAUCUAAAAAGAAUGGAAAUAUUUGUACAAAGGAUUCUAAUUGUCAAUGGAUUAGGAUGACAUGACAAGUAAAGGGCUAUUUUUGGGAAUAAUUAAAUCAUAAAUUAAAAAGUGCAUGCAUUUUAAAUUAUUUUUAAAUAAAUGAAGAUAAUAUUGGAAUUUUCUUUGUCAACCAAUCAGUUUUGAGAAAAAAAAGUUCUUGUAACGGAUAAGCUCCAGGAGGUUAGUUUUUGUAUAUAUAUAUAUAUAUAUAUAUAUAUAUAUAUAUAUAUAUAUAUAUAUAUAUAUAUAUAUAUAUAUAUAUAUAUAUAUAUAUAUAUAUAUAUAUAUAUAUAUAUAUAUAUAUAUAUAUAUACAUAUAUGUNNNNNNNNNNNNNNNNNNNNNNNNNNNNNNNNNNNNNNNNNNNNNNNNNNNNNNNNNNNNNNNNNNNNNNNNNNNNNNNNNNNNNNNNNNNNNNNNNNNNUUUUGAGAAAAAAAAAUUUUUGUAUGAGAUAAGCUCCAGGGGGUGUGUUUUUGUAUAUAUAUAUAUAUAUAUAUAUAUAUAUAUAUAUAUAUAUAUAUAUAUAUAUAUAUAUAUAUAUAUAUAUAUAUAUAUAUAUAUAUAUAUAUAUAUAUAUAAUGUAUAUAUAUAACAGUUCAUGUAAAUUUUGAUUUUUUUGUAAAUUAAAAUAUAAUAUUUUUUUAUAUUGAUAAAUAAAAGCCAUAUUGUUUUAAAGUACUUUAUUCAACAAACAACAAGAUCAGUGGCCCCAACAUUGAUAUGGUUACAAAAAUAGCUAUAAAAGAAAAUAUGACAUAUCAAAAUCCAAUUCAAUAAAAAUCAUAGUCCUCAAACCUCUGUUUCACUCAUGGAAGAAAAUAUCGGUAAUCACAGAUAUAUCGGUAUUUCGAUUUUACGGAUAUAUCGGAUAUAUCGGAGAUAUAUCGGCGGAUAUUCUGGAAAAAAAAAUCGAUAGACUUAAAAUUGUUAAAAACUCAUGAAAAUACAAGAAAAACAUCAUAAUAAUAUAAUUAGAAGUAUAAUUGACAUUUUAAAGUUGUUUUAUUGAAAAAUUUGAUAUAUAUAUAUAUGAUAUAAUUUGCGAUAUUAGAUGUAAUUACAUCAUGUCGAUCUAUAAGAAAUGUUAAUUUUGUAAUUGUUCUCAUUAUAAAGUCACAUAAAAUAUUUUAUUUCAUUAAAUAUCAAUAAUUUGUACACAUUAAAUUCAUUAAAUAAACAUAUUUCAUAUUCAAAAUAUACUAUUUCAUGUUAAUUAAAUUAAUUAAAUAAUUUAGCUAAGUUAACUAGUUUAAUUUAAUUCUAAAUGUGAAAAUAAAUCACAAAUAAUCAUCUAAAAUAAACAUAUCAAUUUAUAAUUAAAUAAUCAAAUUAACCUAAGUUAAUUCAAUAAAAAUAUAAAAAUUAAUUACAAUUGAAUGUAAAAAUAACAUUAAAUCAUCCAUAUUACAAACAUACUAAUUAAAUAAUAUAAAAUAAAUAAUGAUAUAUAUAUAUAUAUAUAUAUAUAUAUAUAUAUAUAUAUAUAUAUAAUUUUUUAAUAUUUAAUUAAUUAUUAAUGAUAUUAAAAACAUUAUGAAGAAAAUUAUAUAAUUUUUAUAUUUUUGGUAAUUAAUUAAAAGACUUUGUAUUUAAUUAUAAAAUAAUUAUAAUUAAUUUGCUAUUUAAAAUAUUCUUAUAUUUUCUUUAUAUAAUGAAUUUAACUAUAUAUAUAGUUGUUGCUUAUUAUAUAUCAAAGGGCAACUUAGCCCAAGUGGUAAGCUGAUGAACCCCAAACCUUUUGGUUUGGGGUUCAAAUCCUCUCAGCAGCAAGAAAGGAAAUGGGAGGCACGGCACUGUAGCGCGUGCACUGUAGCGCGUUGACGGGGCACUGUAGCGGGUCUGACCCGCGUUGACCACGCGAUAUAUCGCGAGAAAUAGCCUAUUUAUCGCCAAAUCACCGAUAUAUCGCGAGAAAUAUCCGAUUUCUCGCGAGAAAUAUCAAAAUAUCGCCGGACCGAUAUUUCUCCAUGAAAUAUCGUGUCGAAACCCUUCGAUACACGAUAUUUCGGCGAUAUAUCGCCGAAAUAUCGCGAUAUUUUCCUCCAUGGUUUCACUAAAAGGUACGUAAUCCUACAAUUCACUUCAUAUGACCCAUGAAGUUAGCGCCAUCAAGAUGAAUUGUCAUAAUUGAAACAAAUCUACAUAAACAAAUAGAGACCAUUUCACAUUUUAAACUACAAUAUCCAUCAAACAACAACAAGACUAAUGUUUACAAAAUUAAUGAAGUUACAAAACUACUGAAAGAAAAGAGUAACCUACCAUUUAAAAAUUUUCUACAUUUGUAUUAAAAAUAUAUGGUAACAAAAUUUUCUAUUAACAUUAAUUUAUUUAAAUAAUUAAUAUUAUUAAUAAUUUAUCUUAUCAAAUUAAUUUUAAUUUAUAAAAUAUUACUGAUAAAAACUGAAAUUUUGAUUUAACCAAAAUAAAGAUGGAUAAUUAAUAAUUAUUUAUAAUUAAUAAUUAAUAAUUUUGAUUUAUAAUAUUGUUCUUGUGAUUUGUUUCCUUUUUAUUUCUAUACUAUAUCUAAAAAACAAACAUGCUCGUUGCCAUUCGUUGAGGCAUUAUGGGAAGGUGAAGGACCCAACGGUGGAGAAUUUGUUGUCGGAGUUUGAUUUUGAGCACACUGUUGGGAGGAGAUUGGUUUCAACCUUUGGAACUCGGUCUGUGGUUCUAAUGGUGGUUGAUGCUUCAAAUUUUGAUGGGUCCGGCCACCACGCGUGAGGCAUCAAGAAGCCCCUUUGUUGAAUUCUUCUCCAGGCAAGCAUCAUGCCUUAUUUUCCUCUGCCACUCUCAAUCCUCGCAGGUACUAAUCUAAUCAUGUUAUUAAUAUUUAUUUUCAACCCCAAUUUGCUUCCCAAGAAAAUCCAUCCCCCAUUCGAUUUCCGGGAAAAUUCAUCAUCGUUUGAUUUCCGAGAGAAAUCCAUCAAAACUCCCAAGGAAAACCAAAUAAAAAAUGCUUUUAUUUUGUUGCUCCCUGUGUUUUCUGGAUCUGUUCUAAGGUUUUAUUUGUUUUUGUGCCAUUGGAUUUAAAUUCUACAAACCCUAAAUCCACGAUUUUUGAGCCACGCUGAAAACCACAACCUUUGCCCUCAAAUUGUGGAUCUGUGUGCGUGUGCGGCGGGCUGGACUGGUAAGUGGAGUUCAAAUACACUAUUUCUUUAAAUUGAUUGCUUUUUUGCCAUUGGAUUUAAAUUCUACAAACCCUAAAUCCAUGAUUUUUUAGCCACGCUGAAAACCACAACCUUUGCCCUCAAAUUGUGGAUCUGUGUGCGUGUGUGAUAUUUUUAAAAAAUUACCCAAUCUUCUGUCAAAGAUCUCAACAAGCAUCAAUACCAACCCAAAUUAACUCGUAAAUCCAUUACAUUCGUACUUGGAAAAGCUCCUCUUAGCUCGGACCACUUCUCUCUAUUUUCACUGCAAGCUCCCCUCGCGAAUUGUGGCUGUGAAAGAAAGUGAAAAAAUAUGGGUUUUUGGAGUUAGGGUUUGGUUCAAGAGAGAAGAAGGGAUUUGGAGGGUUUGGUUCAAAGAGAGAAAAAGGGAUUUAGGGUUUUGAUUCAACACAGAAGAAAUGAUUUCGGGUAAAUCUCACUAUUAUAUUUUAGUAAAUAUUUUUAAAAAAAUAUUGCCACAUGGAGUGUCUACAUGUCAUAUGAGCCAUGUCACUGGCUUAAGUGGAACAUGACUUUGCUGAGUAAUUGAUUAUGUCAAAGUGUAUGAGGGUAUUUUUGGAAGGCUCCUCAAUAUCACUAUUACAGUGUAUGAAAGGUGGUUUAUUUUUCACAAAAUCCAUUGAAUUUGAAAAGUAAAAAGUUAAGUUUCCAAAAGGCAAAAUUUUGCCCCUUGGUGUAUGGUUACAUAAAUUCCCCAUAUUCUAAGAGUAAUCUCCCAACUAUUGCAUUAGAAUAUGUACUUGCUAAUCAAUCAAUCAAUCAAUGGUCAUUGUCCUUAAGGGUCUCCAAAAAGCUCGCGGCUCGCCGCCCGGCCCGACGGGCUAAAGCCCGGCCCAAGCCCGUUUAUGGGCGGGCUGGGCCGCGGGCCGGCCCGUAGGCUCGCCCUUAGGCUCGCCCCUUUAAAAAAAAAACUACAAAAAUAAAAAGUAUUAAAAAAAAUAUUCAUUUCAAAAUUUUAUUCAUUGAAUGUAUAAUUACAUUUAAAAAUGUGGGAAAAGUUUACAUCACUACAAAAUAAAUACAUCCCAACUAGGUUGGCACCUAUUUAUUUGUCAAUCAUCUGUAUUUUUCAAUCACAAAAAAUAAAAAUAAAAAUAUAAUAUACAUUUAGUCAUUAUUUUCUGGCGGUGAUGGCGAACUAUCAUGCAUCCAUGAAGAUCUUGAUAAUUUUAAAGAUUCCAUAUCGGCAAGCAUCUCUGUUUCUCGAAUGGAAUCGUACAUCCUUUUAUCUGCUAUUUCCCCAUCUUUCACACAUAUCCCUGCUUCAAUAACAUCUGGCGCUAAGUUGCAUCGUUUUUUACUAACUACUCUUCCACCUGCACUAAAAGCAGCUUCUGAUGCAACUGUACUCACAGGAACUGUUAGUACAUCAUGAGCAAUUAUAGAAAACACAGGAUAUUUGUGUUGAUGUGAUUUCCACCAUAUUAAAAUAUCAAAAUCUUCUUAAUCUUCAAAUGAAAUUAUAUCAGUAUUAAGAUAUUUAUCUAAAUCAGAUGUAUUAUUUGGAGAACUAUUUGUUGUCUUUUUUCGACUUUUUAACAUUUCUAGAGCUCCUUUGUAAAAAGAUGAGGAGUUUGUAGGUGGUAAUUUAAUAGUAUUAAUAUCAUUACCAUAUUUUUCUUUAUAAUAGUUAUAUAAAUUAUAUAAUAAUGAAUUUAUUUCAUUUUUAAUUUCUUCAAUUUUUAUUUGGUCAUUAAAAUAAAUAAUUGUUAACCAUUCAUCCAAAGCUUCAAAUUUCAAUCUAGGGUCUACAAUUAAAGCAAUAUAAAAAAUUAAAGGUAUUUCUCCCCAAUAUUUUCUAAAUUUUUCUAUCAUUGCAAAUAUUGUAUCAUUAAACAUUUCAAAACUUAAAUAUUUUUGAAGUACAAUAAAAAUAUUAGUUAUUUGCAUAAUAACUCGAUUUGAAGUUGGAUAAUAUACACCACAAAAAAUGUUUGUUGAAGUAUCAAAAAUUUCAAAAAGAUCUCUUAAAAGAUCCGCAAUAUGCCAAUCAUAAUCAUUUAAUGCAUAAAUAUCUGCUUCACAAUCAUUGUUAAUUAAUUGUAUUUCAUAUAAUUCGACUACUUUUCUAUAUUUUGUAAAAGUUUAUAUGUGGAAUUCCAUCUAAUGGCCAUAUCCAAAUUUAUAUUUUUUCUUUUCAUAUUUAACAUUUUGCAACAAUAAAAAAAUAAUUCAUGUUUUGCUUGAGAACUAUUAAUACUAUAUGCAAUGCCUCUAAUUUUUUCCAAUGUACUAUCAACAUUUUUUAAUCCAUCCUUUACAAUUAAAUUUAAAAUAUGUGCACAACAACGCACAUGAAAUAUUUUAGCAUGAUCUUCUUUUACUUGCCAAUAUAGUUUUAGUCUAUGUAUUGCUGUAUCAUUAUUAGCAGCAUUAUCUAAUGUUAUUGUCAAUAUUUUAUCACGAAUGCCUAAAUCUAUAAUUUCAUCAUUUAUUAAAGCUGCUAUAUUUUUACCACUAUGUGGAGCAUUUAUUAAUUUAAAUGAAAUUAUUCUUUUAUUUAAUUUCCAUUCAUUAUCAAUGUAGUGAGCAGUUAUACAUAAAAAACUAGUGUGAGUUAAAGAUGUCCAAAUAUCAGAUGUUAAACAAAUAUUUCCUUCAAAAUUUGCAAAAAAAAAAUUUUAAAUUUCUUUUUGUGUAUAAAUUUUUUUCAUAAUAUCUCUUUUAACUAUAUUUCCAGACCAACUUUUAAAUUGAGGAUUAAUACCUCGUUGAAUUGUUCCUACAAAAUCAUGAGUUUCCAUCAUGUUGAAAGGUUGUUCUGCUCUUAUUAUAUAAUCAAUCAUUUCUUCACGACAGUUAGAUUCAUCAUAAGAAAAUGUUUUUAAAUUUUCACUUUCAUUUUUACCUAAUUGCAUAUAAUUUCUAAUAUCUACAUUAUUUUUAGUUUUACAAUUUUCGUGAUGUCUUUUUAAAUGACUUGUGCCUGCAUUUGAGCCACCAGUAAGAAAUUUAUUACAAAUUUUACAUUUUGCUUUUAUUUCUUUUUUAUUAUUUUCUAAAAUUAUUUCUAUUCUAUCAAAAAAAUUCCAUAUAUUUGAAGUAAAUUUUUUGUUUGAUGAUAUUUCAUCACAUGGACUAUAUGAAGAAGCACUUGCCAUAUUAUAAUUAUUGAUAAAAUAUUAUGCCAAAAAUAAUAAAGUAAUAAAUAUAAAAAAAAAUGUAACAAAAAAAUAAAGUAGUAGGGGUGAAGUAUGUUACUCAAUUAGAGAACCGAUGCAGAAAUUCCUAGCAAAUUUGAACUCUUGGAGCCACCAAUGCUUGUUUUGCACCACCAACAAUAUUGUAUAAUUUGAGGAAAAAAUAAAAGAAUUUGAAAUAUUGUAGAAUGUGAGAGAAAUAGAGAGAGAAAUAGAGAGAAUUUGAUGAAAAAAUGAAAAGGAAGAAAAUGUAUUUAUAGGAAGGUUUAAAAAAAAAAAAAAAAAAUUGGUCAUGUGACCGUUGGAGGCUUAGCCCCAACGGUCACAUGACUCACAUGGGCAGCUGGGCUGGAGCUCCAACGGUCACAUGACCGUUGGAGCCUUUAAUUUUUUUAAAAAAAUAAUAUACUUUAUUUUUAUAUAUAUAUAUAACUAACUCAAUUAAUAAGCACAAAAGGAAUGUAGCUCAGUUGGUUAGAGCCUUGAAAUUUAAGCAUGAGGGGAGGGGUUCGAAUCCCCCCCUCUCCCUUCCUUUUUUUAAAAGCCAUUUUGGCUUAUUUAAAAAAGCCCACGGCCCGCCCCGCCCAGCCCGCCCCUCAGCCCGCCAGCCCGCUAACCCGCGGGCUCAUAGGCCGGGCCGCGGGCCUAACAUUUUUGUAUGGCCCGGCCCGGCCAGGCCUGUUGAUUGGGCCCGGCCCGAGCUGGGCCGCGGGCCUCCUAUUUACGGCCCGCCCGUUGGAGACCCUUAAUUGUCCUUAUGACUUGAGAGCAUGGGAUUGCGCCAUUUUUUUUUUUUUUUACCGACAAGUAGUAAUUGGAAGACAAAAAUUGUUGUAUUUGAUAAAGUCAAUAUCAAUAUGUUGGAGCUUAACAUGUAGGUCUUGUUGUUGUAAAUUCAACUUUUGAUUUCUUCAGGGUUAACUCCAUACCAUUUCAAAUUAGAUGUUUUCUGAGGUAUGCAUGCAUAGAAGGUUCGUAAACCUUAAGGAUUAGCUAACACAACACAUUAGAAUGAAAAUGAUGGAGUGAAGGUCUGAAAAAUGCAACACCCUCCUAGUUGAAGUGCUUGUCCUUGGGCAUUCAAACAUUUAGAGAUUUCUUUGCUACUUUCUAUUUCAUUUCUAACUUUAAAAAUUUGAUUUUGAAAUAUUUUUAAAGUAGAAAUCCUCCAUAAUUAAUUUCUAAAGUAUUUUAAGCAUACAUAAGCAUGUUUUAUUGAAAAUUUGUGAGCAUCUAAAUCUCACAAGAGGAUAGUCAUUAUGGAUGUUUGAGCCUCUAUCUUUCAAUUUUUUUCAAGAUAUUUCUUAAAAGAACUUUCAAAUUUGUUUACUACAAUAAAGAUCAAGGACUCACAUUACUUAAAUUUAAUUUAUUAAGGGUUUCAAACAAUCUAAUAACAGGCAUAAGAAAGUAUUACAUUGAGACAUAGAAAGAAAAGUGAUGGUAUUGAUGAUAUUAUACCUUAAAAAAUAAGUAUAUCAAAUCAAGCUAAAUGAUAUUUUUUUUUUCUUAUAUUUAAUUGAUAACUUGGUGAUCAAGAGAUGAUCCAUGAUCUUUAACCUAGGGGUUCUAGGCAGUUUUUCAUUUUUAUUCUAUAUAUUCUUACAAUUAUUUAGAAAAAGGAUUACUUGCUCGAAAAAGAUUGAAUAUUUUUUGUGUAAUUUCCUAACAACCAAACAUGCUAAUAUUGGCAUUAAUUUUGGUUGACUUUCUUUUGGUAAGAAUAAGACAAAUAACUAAAGAAAGUGCUACGAGAUAUUUGUACACUUUAGGUUCCCUAGGAAGUAUAAGAAAGAUUAGUGAUUUUUUGUUUGUUCGAUUAGUUGGUUGAUUGGAGUUUCGUGUUUUGUUGUUUAUUUGGGAAUUGAUAGGACAUGACCUUUUAAAGAAAAUGAUUCUUUAACAUGAGCACAAUGAACAGUUUUGUCCUUUGCAACAGUAAGUGAGUAUAGAAAUAAAAUGAAAAGAUUUGUACUUUAUAUGAGUUGUUCUUUGGGAAUACUACCUACAUUUGACCUCGAUAAUAAAAUGAUAUGUAAAGUGCAUGUCAUUAAAAAAUUUAUAAAAAUUUAUCAAACUAUAUAACCUAUUGGUGAGAAAUAAUCACAUGCAUUUUAUACGUAUCUAAAUAUCAUAAUUUUUUUAAUAAUUUAUUAUUAAAUAUCAAAUAUAAUUUGUUAUUUAAUGAACUAUCUAACUCUACAUAAAAAUAAUAAAAAAUCUUAAUUUUUUAAUUGUAUUUUUAAUUUUUUUAAUUUUUAAUUUUAUUAAUCUCAAAUUAAUUCUCAUAUUAAAUUAAUUUAUAUUAUUAAUAUAUAAAAGGGUCAUUUUAGGAAAUAAUUAUUUGAAUCAUGAAAAAAUAUAUAUUUUAAAAUAUUUUAAAUGAGUGAGGAUAAAUAUGAUUUAUAAAAGUUUGAGAUAUUUUUUUAUACUUUUUUGUUUUAAAUUGGUAAGUGAAAACCCACUUUUUCCAAAAAUAAUUAUAUAAACAUGUAGAAUAAAACACUACNNNNNNNNNNNNNNNNNNNNNNNNNNNNNNNNNNNNNNNNNNNNNNNNNNNNNNNNNNNNNNNNNNNNNNNNNNNNNNNNNNNNNNNNNNNNNNNNNNNNUCUAUCAACUCAAAGCUUUACUUAGAGUUAGGGAUGAAGAUAGGCGGGCUCACCCGAUCUAAUUUGAACCCAAUUGGAUAUUUGAACGAAUUUAAACAAUCAUUUUUAAUAAUCAGGUUGGGUUGAGUUAGGCUUUUUUCAACCUGAACUUAAUUUGGAUUGAGUUCGGAUUAAGGUUUAGACAACUAGAGUUUAACUUGAAUCCGAUUUAAUGUUUUUAUAAUAUUUAUAACACAUUUUAUUCUAUAUAAUAAUAUAAGUUUUCUUUUUCUAUUUUUAUGAAAAAUAUCAAAUUAUAUUAGAUACUAUGGUUUUUAUUAUUUUUAGAAAAUAUAUAAAUUUAUGCUUAUUCUUUUAUUGCUAUCUUGAAAUUUUGUCCUAUUUGUUAUUAAAAUUUUCAUAUAAAUACAUUAAGAUAAUAUUAUACAUAGAUUUUGAAUUAUGCAACAUGACCAAUUCAAGUAUAACUUGAUCAAUCUGAAUUUAACUUAAACAACCCAAACUCAAUCUAAGUUUAGAAAAAUUAGAUUGGAUUCAACUUGAUUUAAGUACAUUGGGUUAGAGUUCAAGUUGGGUUGAGUUCAAAUUGAUUAUUUCUUAAUUCAAUUUAGGUUUAGGUUAAUCUUCAACUCGAUCAAAUCACCCAAUUUACAACCCUAGAUAGAGUACCAACUUUCGAAUCAUACUUUAAUAAACCCAAAAGCCUAAUUAAGAGUAAAAAAAAGCUACCUAAAAGCAAAUCAACUUGAAUUUUUAUCGAAAAAACAAUAUCAGUAAUACAUUUAAGUUAUGUUUGGUUUUCAAAAAAUGAAGGAAAAUAAAAAAUAGGAUUAAAGUUAAUAAAUUAUUUUUAUAUGCUAGCUUCUUCAAAUUCAUUUAACUUAUUUCUCUCAAUUACCUGAAGAUUAAAUAAUUUUUAAAUAUAUAAAUUUCUAAUGAAUUGUAAUUAUAAUUAAGCUAGGAGAGAUUUACAUUUGAAAAAGUACCAACAUCUUUAACCUAUCUGAGUCAUCUAAGAUAUGUCGAUAUUUCUUAUAAUAAAUAUGAGGUACUUCUUAAUGCAAUUACAAAGCUAAAGCAUUUACAGACAUUGAAACUUUUUCAAUGUUUGUAUCUUAAAGAAUUGCCAAAAAAUAUAAACAAUUGGACAAACUGGAGGCAUCUUGAGAUUGAUGGGAAUAGUGGAUUGACUUUUAUGCCAUGUGGGUUAGGAGAAUUGACUAUGCUUCAGACUCUACCAUUGUUCUUUGUUGGGAAUAACAACAUGAAUUCUAGUGAUAAGAGAAUUGGUCGGUUGAAUGAAUUAAAAUGCAUUAACAACCUCAGAGGAGAAUUGUAAAUUGCACGACUUUCAAAUAUGAGGGGUGGUUGUGAACGUUUGCAAAAAAAAAAAAAAAAACCACCACACAUUAUCGUGGUGAGUGUUUUUUUCUAUAUAUUGUCAUUUACAAAGUACAUAAAAAUAGAAAAAAUAAAUAUGUACAAGAGAAUAGCCUAGAAUUAAGGACAAGAUAUUGAGCCGAAUAUUAAGGUAGCUAAUUAAAGUAACGUAUCCUUGACACCCCCCCCCCCCCCACAAGUUGAGCGUCGGAUUUGAAUAGACAUGAAGCUUGGUACGAAAGAAGUCAAAGAAAGGGCGAGAAACACUUUCGGUGAAGAGGUCGGAAACCUGUAGAUGAGAGGGCACAUAUUGAGUGCGAAGUUUACCAACAACAAGAAGUUCCCGAAGAAAAUGAUAGUCUAAUUCAACAUGCUUAGCCAGUUUGUGGGAAACGGGGUUGGACCUUAAGAAAAUCGCACUUUUGUUGUCACACGGGAGAAUAGGCUUCGGUGUAAUGGGAACCUUAAGAUCAUGAAGUAGAUGGGCGAGCCAAAGGAGUUCAGCUGCAGUAGUGGCAAAGGUACGAUGCUCAGAUUCACAACUAGAACGAGAGACAGUGGGUUGCUUUUUAGCACUCCAAGAAACCAGAUUAUUGCCAAGAUAAAUAGAGUAGCCAAAGGUGGAAUAGGGAGUAUUGGGACAACCGGCCCAAUCAGCAUCAGAGUAAGCAACUAGGGCACUAGGAGCACCAAAAGGGCGAAAAGUAAGACCAAAGUGAAGUGUGCCCUUGACAUAACGUAAGAUGCCCUUGACCGCAAGAAAGUGAUCCUCAGUAGGGGCAUGUAGAAACUGACUAACAGAGUUGACAACAUGAGCAAUGUCAGGGCGAGUGAUGGUUAAGUAUUGAAGGGCACCAACUAGGGAUCGAUAAAGAGUGGGGUCUGAGAAGGCAGUACCAUCACUAGUUAGAUGCUGAGAGACAACCAUAGGAGUGUGAAUAGGCUUGCUGUUAAAUAACUGGGCACAAGUCAGAAUAUCCCAGUCAUGUUUCAGCUGAUUGAUAAAAAGACCAUCAGUAGUGGAAGUGGCUUCCAAACCAAGAAAGUAGCUGAGAGAGCCCAAAUCCUUGGUGGCAAACUCAGAAUUGAGCUUGUGAGCAAAGCUAUCAAGAAGAGAAGAGUUAUUGCCAGUAAUGAUAAUAUCAUCAACAUACAAGAGCAAAUAAAUAAUGUCAGACUAUUGAUGAAAGACAAAAAGAGAGGUGUCUGCACGGUUGCAAGAAAACCCAAGGGUGAGAAGAAAAGAGCUGAAACGUUGAAACCAGGCACGAGGAGCUCUUUUGAGGCCAUAGAGAGCUUUCUUCAAUUGACAGACAUGAUUCGGGUACCGGGGAUCAAUGUACCUAAGAGGUUGUUCCAUAUAACAUUUUCAAUGAGAGUGCCAUUGAGGAAUGCAUUCUUCACAUCAAGUUGGCGAAGAGGCCAUUUGUUGGUAAUAGCAAGAGAGAGCACAACAUGAACAAUAGUAACCUUAAUAACAGGAUUGAAAGUGUUAGUAUAAUCAAGACCAGGUACCUGAGUAUAGCCUUUGGCCACAAGACGAGCCUUGAGGUGCUCAAUAGACCCAUCAGGCAAAUAUUUGGUCCAGAACACCCAUUUGGAACCAACAAUAUUUGUGUGGGCAGGUCAAAGAACUAGAACCUAGGUGCGAUUAUGUUGCAGAGCUUGAACUUCUUCAUCCAUGGCAACAAGCCAUGCAGGAUUCUUAGUAGCAGACUUGAAUCAUUUAGGCUCGGUGGAGGCAAGAAGAGUAGAGAGAAGCCCAAAUGAGCUUAAGACAUUGAGAUUCGUCGGAUGACGGGUCUUGAAAAUGCCAGCUUUAGCUCGAGUAAGCAUGGGAUGAGAACCCAACGGAAGAGCUAGAGCAAGAGCAACAUCAGAAGCAACAGGAGGUGGACGAGGCUUCAGAGACGGGGAAGAUGGACCUACAAGAAAGUCAGUAACUUGCAAAGACUUGUCCAUUGGGUUAGUACAAAUAACACACGGGUUAGAUUCGGACGGUGUAAUGGAGGGAGAAUGGUGUAGAGGAGACAUCGGAGGGGGGUCAACAUGAGGCAUGCUUGGUUAAAGGAAAUUCGAAAAAUGGAGAGAAGAAGGGGGUUGGGCUUGGGAGCCAUUUAUGGAGGGAAAGUGGUGUUUAUCAAAUUGAGCAUGACGGAUGAUAUAAAGCUUAGAGGUGGUGGGAUCAAGACAACGAAAACCUUUGUGGGAAGGGCUAUACCUUAGAAAGAUGGAAAGAAUGCUGUGAGGGGAAAAUUUUUUAGACAUAUAAUCACGCAGACAAAGAUAAACAGGACAACCGAAAUGAUGAAAAUUCUCAUAAUUAGGUUAUGAACCAUAGAGAAGCUCAAAUGGAGACAUACCUCCGAGAAACAGUGUGGGCAAAAGGUUGAUGAUGUAGGUUGUAGUGCUGAAGGCAUCAACCCAAAAGCAAGGAGAAAUAUGAGAAUGGAAAAGGAGGGUCAGACCGGUUUCUGUCACAUGUUGGUGUUUUCUUUCAGCACGACCAUUUUGGGUGGGGGUAUAGGGGCAAGAGAGUUGAUGAUGAAUACCCGAGUUGCUAAGGUGGGCUUUGAAGUGAUUGCUUGUAAACUCAGCACCACCAUCACUUUGAAAAAUUUUGAUGCGAGUAGAAUGUUGGUUUUCAACAAGAUUUUGAAAGUGAAUAAAAAUGUCAUAAAAUUCAAAUUUUUAUUUCAAAGGGUAAAGCCAAGUAAAGCGGGAAUAAUCAUCAAUGAAUAGCACAUAAUAAAUAAAUCCCGAAGUUGACUUAACGGGGGAAGGACCCCAAAUAUCGUAAUGAAUAAGAUCCAACACAUGAGACAAGCGACGUUCAUUACGAGAAUAAGGCAAGCAAUGAUUUUUUGCAAUUUGACACGUCACAUAAUGAAAGAGAAGGCAACAAUGAGGUAAGAUAAAGAUGGUCAUUUUUAUUUAAUAAAGAAAUAAUUGCUAACAUGUCCAAGACGAGCAUGCCAUAAAUCAUACAAGGCAUGAAGAGCCUUAUUUUUAAGAACAAAAAUGAAAGAGGAAUUGUCGUGCUCCAGCACAUAUAGACCACCAUAUCUUUUACCGGUUGCCACCACCCUUCCCGUUUGACGAUUCUGGAUAGAAAAAAGUUAUUAGUAAAUGUAAUAGCAAGAGGAGGAAAACCGGAUGUUAAUUUACUAAUUGACAAGAGAUUUUUCGUUAAGCGAGGAACAACUAAUACAUCCAAUAACUCAAUAGAUGGGGUAGAAGAGAUGGUACCGGUGUGGGUAAUGGGAAGGGAAGCACCAUUCCCGACAACUACACGAUCCUUACCCGUGUAAUUACUUGCUCGAUCCAAGUGGGAGAGGUCUGGUGUCAUGUGGGCUGAAGCCCUUGUGUCCAGGUACCAGUCACUGGGCUUGGGCCUAUUAAGAGAGCAAGAGGCCUUAAAGGCCUUAAAGGCCUCGACAAGGUUGGUUGUGGUGCCAAUAGGUUCUCCACCUUGUGCAUACCGCUGGUUUCACUUAUCAGCGUAGUGCCCUUCCUGGCGACAGAUCUGGCAGCGUGGCGGACGGUGGCCCUGCUCGGAGUUGGAACGACCAUUAUCACGGUGGGAAGAUGAGUGGCGACCUGAUUGAUGACGAGACUGGUUUAUGAAAGCUGAGCGAGGUUGACCGUGAUUGGUGGCUAUGAAAGCAGCUGUGGGUGGGCCAUGAUUGUCAACGGAUUUAUGGAAAAGCUUAAAGCUUUCAGCCUUGGAGACCAAAUCAGGAAAGGAGAGUAGUGGCGUUUGAGCCAUUUGGGCGGGUGGAAAAGCUUGUGAAAUUUGAACCAAGGCUACGAAGGAACCAAUGGACUUUAUCAGUGCCGUCGACUUGUCUUCCAAUCGUGUGGAGUUGAGCACAAAGGGCUUUGAAUGCCCGAGUAUAUUCGGUUACCAAUCGCGUCCCAUGUCUCAUCAAUUGAAAGUCAUCCUUGAGCCGAAUUUCUCUGGCUUUUGAUCAGUGACUGAAUGUAUUUUCGAGUGCUAACCAGACCUCGCAUGAGGUGGAGAGGCCCACGACCUUGGCCAUGGCUUCCUCCGUGAGGGAGGAGAGCAAAAGACUCAAGAGGCGCUGGUCAGUAUUUUUCCACGCCAAGUGCUUGAUGUUUGGUGUCCGAGAGUCAACAGGAGCAAACCGUGGAGGAGAUGCAAGAGUUCCAUCCACAUGGCCGAGAAGUUCUUGGCUUUCAAGGAGAGGAAGAAGUUGGCUCUUCCAUAUGAGAUAAUUGGAGGAGGAGAGUUUGAUGGUCACCAUGUGAAUCAUGGUGUUGAAAGGGAGAAUGGUGGGGGAGGUGUUUUUGAUAGCCAUUGAAGCAAGGGGGAUCGAUGGAGGCUAGUCCGAGAGGGCUCUGAUACCAUGUGAACGUUUUCAAAAAGAAAAAAACCACCACACAUUAUUGUGGUGAGUGCUUCUUCUACAUAUUGCCAUUUACAAAGUACAUAAAAAUAGAAAGAAUAAAUAUGUACAAGAGAAUAGCUUAUAAUUAAGGACAAGACAUUGAGCCGAAUAUUAAGGUAGCUAAUUAAGGUAAUGUAUCCUUGACAGUGGUGCAUUAGAUUCCAAGGAAGCAAAUUUGAAAGGAAAACAGUGCUUUCAUUCCUUGAGAUUAUAUUGGUUGGAGCCAAUAGAAUGGAUGAUAUGGGACUUUGAACCAGAAAGGAACAACGUUGAGGAGGCUGAGUCGGUGACCCAAGUCUAAAGGAGCUCUACAUUAAGGAUUAUAUUGGUGAGAGGUUCCCAAGUUGGAUGAUGAAUGAUGGGUUUGGUUCAUUGCUCCCAAAUCUAGUGAAAAUUAUGAUGAAGAGGUGUAAAAGAUUCAGAGUUUUGCCACUGUUCGGUCAACUCCCUUCUCUUCAGUAUCUGGAGCUUGAGUGUUGUAUGGAGAACAUGAAGAGCUACUCAUCAUCAGCAACACCAUUCUUCCCAUCCCUGAAGACACUUCGACUUGAAAGGUUGCCUCAUUUGAUGGAAUGGGGAAAGAGGGACGUAGCAACAGAGCAAGCUCCUUCAGUUCCUUGUCUUUCCAAACUAAAGAUCAAAGUUUGCUGGCUGGCCCUAAAUUGAUGUCCUUGGCAUUGCCUUCAUCUCCUUCUAGUCUUUCUAUUCUAGAUAUCAAAGAAUGCAAUAACUUGGCAUCCUUGGCACUACCAUCAUCUGCUUUUCUUUAUGAUUUCUCAAUUAGACAUCAGUUCUUGCAAUAACUUGACAUCAUCGACACUUUCUUCAUUUCCUUGUCUUUCUCAAUUACAUAUCAAUUUUUGCCAGAACUUGAAAUCAUUACCAUUGUCUUUGUUCCUUGUAUUUCGAAAUUGCACAUCAGAUCUUGCCAUAAAUUUUUGCAAUAAAUUACUGUUUUUUGAGGAUUUGUUUUGGAAAUAAAUUACUUUUUAGGAUUUUUGCAAUAUUUUUUAGUUGUUUUAAAUUGUUUUCACUUGUUUUUUAUGAUUUGUUUUAAAAAAUAAUGGAAAAAACAAGCUUUGAUUCACUAAUUUGAAAAAAUAUAAAAAAAAUGACUUCCACUUUUAUAAAUCAGUUUCAUCUUUAUUCAUUUAAAAAUAUUUUUAAAUAUAUGUAUUUUUUAUAACUCAAAUUAUUGUUUUCUGAAAUACUCUUUUACUUGAUAAUAUUAAAUAAAAUUAUUUAAAAUUAUAUUAUAAUUUUUUUAUUGUAUAACAUAAGAUAUAAAUUAUUGUGGAAAAAUCAUAUAGGAUUCUUAAGUAAUAAAUAAAAUCUUUAUAAUCCCUUAAUCAAUAAUGAUUUUAUAUCGUGAAUUAUGUAAAUCCCAUCAUUUUCUCAUUUAUCUAAUAAAAUUAAAUACAAAUUUUGUUAGUUGACAUCAACAAUAAAAUAAAAAAUUUUAAAAAUUAAAAAUACAAUUAAAACUAAAAUACAUAAAGAUUAAAUACAAUUUAAAACAAUAAAAACUAAAAAAUUAAAAUAAAAAUAUUUACUCCCAUUGUAUUUUUAACUAUUUCUUGAUAUUUAUAUUUUCUAUUAGAAUGUUUUAAUUAAGUGAAAGUUAAUAUUUUAUUUUUAUAUUUUUAGCUUUAAAGUCUUUUUUGUUUUAAUUGUAUUUUUAAUUUUCUUAAUUUUUUAUUUUAUUAAUCUCAAAUCAAUUCUCACUUUAUAUUAAUUUGUAUUAUUAACAUAUAAAAGGGUCAAUUUAGGAAAUAAUUAUUUGAGUUAUAAAAAAGUGUACAUAUUUUAAAAUAUUUUAAAUGAGUGAAGAUAAAUUUGAUUUAUAAAAGCUUGAAUUCUUUUUUCUAUAUAUAUAUAUAUAUAUUUUUUUUUUAAAUUAGCCAAUAAAAACCCAUUUUUUCUAAAAAUAAUUAUAUAAACACGUAGAAUAAAACACUACACAUAAAAAUUAUUUUUAAAAAUAAUAAAAAUAUGUUAAAGAUAAUUUAUGUCUUUAAACAAACCUUUUCUUUACAAAAUAUAAAAGAAUAAUUUUUUAAAACUGCUAUUUAAAACUAUUUUUGAUUCAAAAACGUACAAUUUCUAAACAUAGCCUAUGUUUUUGUCUUCUUUUCUUUUUAUCACCUUGUUCUUUACUUUGUUUUCUUAUACUCUGCACAAGGCUCUUUAGUUUCCUCCACAACACUCCUACCAACUGCCACCACCUUCUUUGACAGGCCAUACAUAGCUUAAUGUUUUAAAAAAUGAAGAUAAAAAGGAAAUCAUUAAUUGGAUGUCAACCUAAUGCAACCAUUAUAUUUAAAUUGAAUUGUUUUGUAGUUGGUCGGUGUAGACCCCUUUUAAUAGGCCACCCCCGGGAGGAGUAAAAUUUUCGUUUUUUUUAGGGGUGGGGGACGACUACCAAUGGCACAUGAAGACGCAUGGCGAAGCGCGUCACCAACUCACCAUGGUGGUGGUUGGGAUGGCGACCUGGCUGAGCGGUGAAUAAGGGAGCAGAUAAUGGCUUGGUUGGGAAGAAAACCGGAUGGGGGGCCAAGUCUAGAGGGUAAAGAACAAAAAAAUGAGUUUUGGGUGGAGAUACUGGAGGAUGCUGGGUUGGUUGGGGGAGUCUAGGGUUCUAGGGAAAAAGAAUUCUCUGGCCAGGCGAGAGCUGUGAAGGAGCUCUCAGGUAAGUUUACAGGGUAUCUCUCGUUCAUAUUCACUAUCACAGUUCUUUCAUUUUUUCCUCUUGCUAUUUGGGGUUCCGUUUGUUUGUUUGGAUAUGGAUAAUAGGAGAUAUGCAUGAGUUUUGUUGAUUUCCGGCUCGUUUAUAUGCCCAUUGAUCGUUUCAUUCACUGUCCUUCUUAGCAUUGGUUUAAACCUAGUAAAGUUAUGUUUCAUUUUGCUCUAUGUGAAGAUAUUGUUUGCUAUUUUCUCGUUUGGACCCGUCGGUACCCUUCCCACCAAUCCAAGCCCGUUGAAAGAGCAUUAGAUAUGGUUUCUCUUGAUUCAUAUGUAUAUUUUCUUGUUUACUUUUCCUAUUUUGUUUUCACGUUUUUACUCUCCUCCAUCCCUCCACCCCUCCACCCUCUAAUCCACCACGCCCAUCUUUCACCCACAUACCAACCCACUUCUGCCACCACCCAACCCGACAUCAUACUUCUACAUAUCCUUCAUUCAUGACUCCAUCCCACCAUGCAUGGAAAUACCAACCCUAUUACAAUCCGUUUCUAUGCCUCAUUCAUACCCAUUUCCUAUCCACAUGCAUGAAACCAUGUAUGGAACUAUGCAUAUCAACACCCUUCUAUGGAACCAUGCAUAUCACCACCCUUCCGUGCCCACCUUACCCAUUCUUUCUUACCACCUCUCUCUACACCACGUUCAUAAUGCCCACUUUCUAUCCACAUGCAUGAAACCAUGCAUAUCACCACCCUCCUAUACCCACCUUACCCAUUCUUUCUUACCACAUUUCUCUUUCUACACCACGUUCUUCAUGCCCACAUCCUAUCCACAUGCAUGAAACCAUGCAUAUCACCACCCUCCUAUACCCACCUUACCCAUCCUUUCUUACCACCUUUCUCUCUACACCACGUUCUUCAUGCUCACUUCCUACCCACAUACAUGAAACCAUGCAUAUCACCACCCUCCCAUGCCCACCUUACCCAUUCUUUCAUUAACCUAUCUCUCAUUCCGCACCUCCAUUCUUCAUGCCUUUCGGGAACCAUACCACCAUACCCAUAUCAACACCCACUAACCCAUUCCCUUAUCAUAUUAUCGAUACCCUUUUCUCUUACUUAUCACCUUUCUCAUUUUCCAAACCUCCAUCACUCGCUCCACUAGUCUCAUACCCAUUUUUCCUCACCACCGUGGCAACCUCCAUCCACACCGCCCUACUUUCUUGUCCUUUAUCUUAGAGAGAAAAUUUUGGUAAGUUACUCAUUUUAAUUUCUACAGUGGGUGUAUUUUUUUAUGUUUGUGGGUCUUGCAUAUUGGCUUUGAGCCCUUGGGCCUGGGUGUAAUUGGGCAUGGUUUGAGUUGAUUAUUAUAAAGCAAGUUGUGGGCUGUGAGACCCUUGGGACCGUUUAGGCUUGGGUCAUUAUGCUAAUGGAUAUGGGCUUGGGAUGGUGCCUAGGCCCAUAUGUGUUGAUGAAAGGCCUCAUGUUUUGUUCACCCAUCUUAAGUUGGCUCAUGCCCAUUUCAAGUCCAUACUCACUUCAAGUUAGCCCAUUUGUUUGUUUUCAAUUUACAUAAUUUACCUUUUUAAAAGCCCUAAUUUCUCAAUAAAUUUUCUAAAUUUAAAUUCCAAUUUCUGAAAUUUUAAUUUUCACAUCAAUUUAUUUAAUCAAUAUUACUUUAUUCAUUUGUUUAUUUGUUUAUUUUUAAAAUUCAAUCUUUAAAAAAUCCUUCAAAAUUCCGAUUUCUAAAUUUUAAUUCUAAUUUCCGAAAUUUUAAUUUGCAUAUCAAUUUAUUUAAUCAUUAUCAUUUUAUUCAUUUAUUUAUUUGUUUAUUUUUAAAAUUCAAUCUUUAAAUAACUCUUCGAAAUUCUGAUUUCUAAAUUUAAAUUCCAAUUUUCGAAAUUUUAAUUUUCACAUCAAUUUAUUUAAUCCUUAUUAUUUUAUUUAUUUAUUUAUUUGUUCAUUCUUAAAAUUCAAUCUUUAAAUAACUCUUCAAAAUUCCGAUUUCUAAAUUUAAAUUCUAAUUUUCGAAAUUCCAAUCUUUAUAUCAAUUUAUUUAAUCAUUAUCAUUUUAUUCAUUUAUUUAUUUGUUUAUUUUUAAAAUUCAAUCUUUAAAUAACUCUUCAAAAUUCUGAUUUCUGAAUUUAAAUUCCAAUUUCCGAAAUUCUAAUUUUCACAUCAAUUUAUUUAAUCAUUAUUUUAUUUAUUUAUUUAUUUGUUUGUUUAUUUUUAAAAUUCAAUCUUUAAAUAAUUCUUCAGAAUUCCAAUUUUUGAACUUAACUUCCAAAAUUCCCUUUCUUAAAUUCAAUUCCCAAGACUCCAAUUUCCAAAUAAUUUUCGAGACUCUGAUUUUCAAACAAAUUUCAAAAAUCCAGUUUUCACUCGAACAGUUUUAAUUCCAUCUCGAUUCUCAAAUAAUCUGUUGUUCAUCUUGAUUUUACAUAAGUAUGAAUGUCAUUUUUCAUAAUUCCAUAAUAAUGGAAUUUGUGAUAUUAAUUCGUGCAAAAUAGAUCGGGCUUUGGUGGGGGCCCCACAUACGUGAUUUUAUGAUUGAUUGAUUUAUUCUAUUCCAUAAUAUGCACAUAAUCAUUCUAUGUUUGUUCACUAACCAUUUGUUUUCCUUUAAGUAAAUCAGUUCAUCACUGAGGUACAUUAUUUGCGUCUCCCAUUCAUUCAAUUAUUUUGUUUUGAGUGGUAUUUAUUUGGUAUCUAUGUUCGAUUAAUCAAUUGUUAUGCUUGUUUCAUUUUAUUAACAGAGAUCCAUUUUAGAGACUUAAAGGGAUGUUAUAGUCUUUAUCGUACCUUCUCGAUAAGUAACCUGACCCUCGAACCCGAUUCGGUUUUUUGUAGACCACCUUUUCCAAAUAAGGAGUCACACUUAGGGUUUUCUUUCUUAUUUUGUUUACCAUUUAAAAAUAAAAUUAAAAUAAGUGGCAACUCCAAGUUUUUUUUUUUUCAAAAAAAUCAAAUUUCCAUCAAAUAAAACAAAAAGCGAAUUUCGCCAUCGAGGGGAAGCGCAUGAGCCGAAAUGCGGGGUCCACGUUUAGAUUUCCACAUCUUUCCCAAAUAUUGUUGAAGUAUUGGUUUGACAAGGGCUAUUUUCUUCUAGAAAAUAAGUGAACAUAUAUAUUAUUAUCACUUCAAAUAAAGUCUAUGGGAAUUAUGGCUUCUUACUUCAAUGUUAAUCUGGAUAGACAACUCAUAUUUUUAGUCAUUACCAUAAUUGUUGCAAUCAUGCCAUUAAUAUAUUUGUGACUAGUGUAUUUAAAUACCACAUCCACAAUCAUAGCUGUAAUUGCUCCAUGUAUCAAGCCAUUACAUGCGUUUAUAUACCCAUGUAAAUUAUGAAUGAAAGCAAGAGUUUUUCUUUUGUUUUAAAUCUAUCAACUCAAAGCUUUACUUAGAGUUAGGGAUGAAGUUAGGCAAGUUCACCCGAUCUAAUUUGAACCCAAUCCGAUAUUUGAGCGGAUUUAAACAAUCAUUUUUAAUAAUUGGGUUGGGUUGAGUUAGGUUUUUUUCAACCUUAACUUAAUUUGGGUUGGUCUUGGAUUAAAGUUUAGACAACUAGAGUUUAACUUGAAUCCGAUUUAAUAUUUUUAUAAUAUUUAUAACACAUUUUAUUCUAUGUAAUAAUAUAAGUUUUCUUUUUCUAUUUUUAUGAAAUAUAUCAAAUUAUAUUAUAUACUAUGUUUUUCAUUAUUUUUAGAAAAUAUAUAAAUUUAUGUUUAUUCUUUUAUUGCUAUCUUGAAAUUUUGUCCUAUUUGUUAUUAAAAUUUUCAUAAAAAUGCAUUAAAAUAAUAUUAUACAUAAAUUUUGAAUUAUGCAACAUGACCAAUUCAAGUGUAGCUCGAUCAAUCUGAAUUUAACUUAAAUAGCUCAAACUCAAUCCAAGUUUAGAAAAAUUAGAUUGGAUUGAACUUGAGUUUAGUACAUUGGGUUAGAGUUCAAGUUGGGUUGAGUUUAGAUUGAUUAUUUCUUAAUUCAAGUUAGGCUUAGGUUAGUCAUCAACUUGAUCAACUCACCCAAUUUACAACCCUAGAUAGAGUACCAACUUUCGAAUCAUACUUUAAUAAACCCAAAAGCCUAACUAAGAGAUAAAAAAAAGCUACCUAAAAGCAAAUCAACACAUGAAAUCAACUUGAAUUUUUAUCGAAAAAACAAUAUCAGUAAUACAUUUAGGCUAUGUUUGAUUCUCGAAAAAUGAAGGAAAAUAAAAAAUAGGAUUAAAGUCAAUAAGUUAUUUUUAUAUGUUAACUUCUUCAAACUCAUUUAAUUUAUUUCUCUCUAUUAUAUGAAGAUUAAAUAAUUUUUAAAUAUAUAAAUUUCUAAUGAAGUGUAAUUAUAAUUGAGCUAGGAGAGAUUUACAUUUGAGAAGGUACCAACAUCUUUAGCCUAUCUGAGUCAUCUAAUAUAUGUCGAUCUUUCUUAUAAUAAAUUUGAGGUACUUCUUAAUGCAAUUACAAAGCUAAAGCAUUUACAAACAUUGAAACUUUUUCAAUGUUUGUAUCUUAAAGAAUUGCCAAAAAAUAUAAACAAUUGGAUAAACUUGAGGCAUCUCGAGAUUGAUGGGAAUAGUGGAUUGACUUUUAUGCCAUGUGGGUUAGGAGAAUUGACUAUGCUUCAGACUCUACCAUUGUUCUUUGUUGGGAAUAACAGCAGGAAUUCUAGCGAUAAGAGAAUUGGUCGGUUGAAUGAAUUGAAAUGCAUUAACAGUCUCAGAGGAGAAUUGGCAAUUGCACGUCUUUCAAAUAUGAGGGGUGGUGCAUUAGAUUCCAAGGAAGCAAAUUUGAAAGGAAAACAAUGCCUUCAUUCCUUGAGAUUAUAUUGGUUGGAGCCAAUAAAAUGGAUGAUAUGGGACUUCGAACCAGAAAGGAACAACGUUGAGGAGGCUGAGUCAGCGACUCAAGUCCAAAGGAGCUCAUAAAUAAGGAUUGUAUUGGUGAGAGGUUCCCAAGUUGGAUGAUGAAUGAUGGGUUUGGUUCAUUGCUCCAAAAUCUAGCGAAAAUUAUGACGAAGAGUUGUAAAAGAUUCAGAGUUUUACCAGUACUGUUUGGUCAACUCCCUUCUCUUCAGUAUCUGGAGCUUGAGUACCUAGAUUCUGUAUGGAGAACAUGAAGAGCUACUCAUCAUCAGCAACACCAUUCUUCCCAUUCCUGAAGACACUUUGACUUGAAAGGUUGCCUCAUUUAAUGGAAUGGGGAAAGAGGGGCGUAGCAGCAGAGCAAGCUCCUUCAUUUCCUUGUCUUUCCAAACUAAAGAUCAAAGUUUGCUGGCCGGCCCUAAAUUGAUGUCCUUGGCAUUGCCUUCAUCUCCUUCUAGUCUUUCUAUUCUAGAUAUCAACGAAUGCAAUAACUUGGCAUCCUUGGCACUACCAUCAUCUCCUUUUCUUUAUGGUUUCUCAAUUAGACAUCAGCUCUUGCAAUAACUUGACAUCAUCGACACUUUCUUCAUUUCCUUGUCUUUCUCAAUUACAUAUCAAUUUUUGCCAGAACUUGAAAUCAUUACCAUUGUCUUUGUUCCUUGUCUUUCGAAAUUGCAUAUCAGUUCUUGCCAUAAAUUUUUGCAAUAAAUUACUGUUUUUUGAGGAUUUGUUUUGAAAAUAAAUUACUUUUUGCAAUAAAUUUGAGGUGUUUUUAAAAAAUAAUAGUUUUUAAAUUUUUUUAAAACACUGAGGUAUAAAAAAAAAUUAUUAAUUACCUUAAAUUUUAAAUCUUUUAAAAGUGACUUAUUUUUAUUUUUAUUUUUUCUUCAGGAUAUGUAAGCCAUCUCUUAUUUGACCAGGGACUUGUGGAGCUGUUGUCGUUACCUGUAAAAGCUUGUGCAUGAUGGACAAUGAUAUAGUACCAAACAGGAAAGGAUUUGGUGGAGCUUCCCUUUAAAGUAUGUGCAUGAUGAUGAAUUAUGAUCAUUUGAGGGAUUGACGAUUUUUAGAAAGAAAAAAGUGAAUUUGAAAAAGAAAAUGUCUGAAUGAUACUGACACCCAGCCUGUAAAGCACAAAGUGUGGUCAGACUAUACGAAUCAAACUUUAGCAACAUUGCCAAUGUAUUGGUCUCAGCAACACCAAUUUAAAAAUCCCCAUUAAACUCGGUAGCUCAGUGUUUACAGAUUUUGUGUUCAUGGCUGGUUCUCUUGAGAAUGCCAUGGUGCUGUCAUCAACAACCGAUGAAGAUGAGAAACAGAAGGGAAGUAGAAGCAAAAGAGAGAUCAUUUCCACCCUCCCAACUGAAAAAGGCUGGAAAAUUCAGGGUCUUAUGUACCAGUACCAAGGCUUUUGGUACUAUUCUGGGGGUGCGGUAGAAGGAGUCAUGUGGAUGCAAAAAUGCUUCAAGGCAAGGAAUGAAGAUGUUCUCUUGGUCUCCUUUCCAAGAUGUGGAACAACAUGGUUGAAAUCUCUCAUGUUUUCUAUCAUGAAUCGAACCAGGUAUGAUUUCUCAGCACACCCUUUGCUGACUUCUAGCCCUCAUGAACUUGUUCCCUUCUUGGAAUUCUACGCAGAGCAGAACAUCCCCUUCCCAGACCUGGACACACUUUCCUCUCCUCAGCUCUACCAUACUCACAUUGCCCUCACUUCAUUACCCCAACCUGUCAUAGACUCUCAGUGUCGAAUUGUCUAUAUCUGUCGCAACCCCAAAGAUGUGUUUGUUUCUAUUUUUUGUUUUCUCUCGAGAUGGAAUAUAGUGGUUCCCCUUGAAGAGGCAUUUGAGUUGUUCUGCAAAGGAAUUAGCGUGUAU
Molecule: long non-coding RNA, 56495 nt
Filed under: Vitis vinifera (wine grape)
Lineage: Eukaryota; Viridiplantae; Streptophyta; Magnoliopsida; Vitales; Vitaceae
Description: long non-coding RNA (VVIN_LNC004359)
Source: RNAcentral